This 51218-nucleotide long non-coding RNA is filed under the name Hordeum vulgare. RNAcentral describes it as "long non-coding RNA (HVUL_LNC007237)". The record is from RNAcentral. Lineage: Eukaryota; Viridiplantae; Streptophyta; Magnoliopsida; Poales; Poaceae.
AAUGAAUCGAGUUUCGAAACACGGUUGUUGUAGGGAGUUAUUUCUUUCUUAAAGGAAGGCUCUCUGCUCCAUUGGGUGACGAUUCAAUGGUUCUAUUCAUCCUAUUCCUAGGUCGAUCCGUUAACUUGGGUUUUGUUUACCAGUUGGUUAGGUCAACUUGUGGCAUAGCUGUAUUGGACGCGAUACGGUGAACGAGUCCCUUUUUGCUUUCCGAUACUUUCUUGAAGGAAUAGCAUCUGAGUACAAUAGUGUAGAGUUCCCCGCACUAAACAUUGCAAAGAGUCUAAAAGAGGUGAAAGAGCUAUAAAGAACUAAGGAAGAAGCCAUUUGUAGCACUAAGAGGAAGAUGUCUCACAACCAGCCUACGGAUAAUACAUGCCGAUAUAGGAAUGAAGCAUGCAUAAACUCGUAAGUCAAUAGUGAAUUUGGUUGCAUCGAAGGCGGAUAAAUUCAAUAAUGAGGGCCGCCCGCAGAUGAUAGCAAUUCGUCUUCACUAAGAGCUAACGACUAGAAAUCUAGCAAAUAGGACGCUUUGUCAAUUGAAUUAGUAAGUUAUCCUGGUCUAGAGGGUGUUCUUCCUCCCCACUCUAGAGGCUAAACCAGUUAGAAAAGCGUCCCCCGGGAGUUUCGCAGUAGUAGAUGACGUUCCUGGUACUAGUAGUCCAUAGAACUAAGAUUUGCAUGCAUGGUGGGUAACAGCAUUGUAUCUAUCUUUUGCAGUCUGUAAAUACGUAUCCCAAAGUUGUAGAUUCUGCUUCUUAAGGGCUGGGUGUCAAAGUCCUCAGUAGGUGGUUUGGUCCUUCAAAUGCCUAUCUGUUGUAGUAGUCCCCAAAGGCGGAGCUUUAUUAGUUGUAGGUGGACGGACCUCAAGUCCUUUCCUUUCUCUAACGCUAAUACCGCGGCCUGUCAUGAUUGCUGUCAAAGAUGAAGGCCAUACUGUAGUCAUAAGAUUGCGUGUCGUGUCGUUAUUCUGUAUCGUGUACAGAUUCUCAUAUGUGUUGUCAUUCCAGUACAGCUAAUCCGUGAACAGCUAACCAUCGUACUGUCAAAAUGGGAUAGGUUCGAUCUAUGGUCAUGGAAGGCCUCCUAAAAAGAUCUACUAAAUUCAUCGAGUUGUUCCAAAGAAUCAAAGCGCCCAGUUAUUAAGAAAAUCCCUUGUCGGCUUUCCGUGAAAUAUUCGUUUGGCCGAGGACUUCCAUAGCUGUUCCUAUUUCAACUAGGUAGGCCUUCGGUAUUCAUGCUUCCUUCUAUCAAGAGCAUUGUGGCAGUACGAAAUCCUUCCUCAGCCUUGUUUAUAAUUUUCACCGGGCAUAUCCGAUUUUUGGACACUUGCUGCAUCCCUUUUCUUGCUGCAUUAGCUUAACCGUUCGCUUCUUUCCAUUGCUUCAACGCUUGUUUCAAGCAAUAGUCAAGAGUUACUAAAGUAGUUUGUCCUAUUCAAAGCUAUAAUCAGUGACUAAUAUGCACACAACAAUAAAGACUGUUGUUUUUUCUAGUGAGAAAUCGAGUACUGUUUUUACACAGCUAUAGCGUCUGAGAAUUUGACAGAAAAGCAAGGUUCAAAGCCCACGGAGCGGUAGGUCGACAUUCCUUCUUCUUUCCAAGCUUCUAGUGGUAUCUAUACCUUUCGAGACCAAGCCCUGCUACAAUUCAUUGCUGGAAGAGACUGCUAGAUUUCUUUUUCAUAGUUCGCUUCAGGGUUGUAGAUAAUGCUCUAUCAAAGAGCGCCAGCGUACGUGCUCGAAAGCGUUAGUCAACUAGCUACUUGUCCUUGCUUUUCUCUAGUGUGCCCCUUCAUUCAAUCUCUAACUCAAUGUCUACCCACAUACCUUUCCUUUCUGAAUCAGGAAUAGCCGCUUCGAACGAACAAAAGAAAGGCCAUACAGUCAAGCAAGGCCUGCACCCGUCACCAGACCAGAUGAGAUGUUGCUUCUCCCAUGUCCUUACUUUAAUUUUUACUUUUGUUAAGGAAUUCGAGACCACUACUUCAAUUGCUUACUGGGCGCAAGUUCUAUUACGGAUUCGCUCCAUCGCUUAACAACUUCAGCAACUCCAACGAGGCACGACCCAGCUCUUUCGGAACCAGAUGAAACACUUUUAGGACUCGGUACCCGAACCACGAUUGGCUCUAAAUAGAGAAGACCACUCAAAUCCUGUUAGGUACAAUCCAACCUUGACCUCUUCAAACUCAAGUUUUGUCAAAAGGUGCCAUGUUGCUUUUAAUACACCGAUCAAUCAGAUCAGAAUAAGGGAGCUUAACGACAGUUUUUUUAGAAAAGAGGAGGUAGUUUUGGAGCGAAGAAGCAGUGAUAACAAAGGUAUAUAGCGAAGGUGACGAUAGCCUUGCAGACGCGGAGUAAAAGAAUACCGAAGUUCCAAAAUGGAAGCUGUUGUGGCAGGAGAGAGCUAGUGAUCUCCCAUAGGGGUGGAGAAGCAAAUUACUACCCGGCGGGUACAAUUAUUACACAGAAUAGAGAUGGGACUCGGAGGAUGAAGAAGUACAGAAGAGGGAGCCUCAAGGGAUGAAAGUGUUGUUCGGGACACGAAACCAUGGAUUGUUUCUGUGCUUGGCACUAGAAAGGUAUGAUUGGAACCCUGCUUUGCUACCGGGAGCCUAAAGCAUCGGGACAUCGAGAUCGCUUAAGGCAUUGAAGUCGCUGACUAGCUCGGGUCGAACUAAAACAUUUCUACUUUUAUAGGCGUUUAUGAGCUCCCUUUUCAGGAUUGAGAAUGACGACACAGCCUGGAGGUCUUUCGUCUACUUCUUCUGUCCAGGCCUGUUUGUAUUCCCACCAUACCUUUCCACAUCGUCCUUCUCUAUUGGGGGCUCCCAACACCUCAGCCAAUUCGUGCAGCAUCUUAUUCAGGAUCUCGGUGCUCCCAAAAGUUGUGAGCGACUCCAGGAACAAGACUCUGCCACCUCUGUGCGUCACCGAAUGAAGGAAGGAAAGAGCAUGUCGUACAUAAACCUGGAUUUUAUCCAUGUCGUCCGUAUCUACGCCAGGCACGAUGGUACGUGGUCUGACAGAGGGGGCGGGCUUCCUACUACCUGACUUUCGCCAACAAUUCUUCCUUCGGCGGCAGAUGGCGGGCCGACCUCUCUUCGGUGGUCUCGCUCUAGAAUGGCACUUUGCUCGAUUGGUACCAUAGCUUUUGCGACUGUAUGACCAUUUUCCUUUCCGGAAAACUUGAGUUAGAAGCCCACCGAAGGUGGAAGUAUGUUUAUGGCUAUAUUUUGAUGUCAAUAGAUCUUACCAAAAAAAAAUAUAUGAAAUGAAGGAAUAAGACGGACAAUCUCUGAGUCGUCCGGACGAUUCGCAAAUAAUAUAUAUAUAUAUAUAGGUAUAAGAAAAAAAGAGGGCCAGGACACCUCACCAAAAUACAGAAUGAAUCAAGUAUGCUGAUCUCAGUCAGGUGCAGCGACAUGACAUGGCCAAUUAAUUAAUUAAGAAAGCUCUGUUUUGCAAGGAUUUCCUACUAGUCUCUAGUGCAAACCAAUUCUCCUUGGUCGUAUACAGCGGUGAACUAGCAUAGCAGAGCGCAAGGAGCAAUAUAGCAGCACAGAGCUAAAGGGCAUUCCACAGAGGAGAAAUUACCAGACAGAGCAGAGCAAGAAGCAUUGUAGCAGCAGAAAGCAAAACUGCAUCCAUUCAGAUCAGAUCAUAUCAUAUAAUGGUUCAGCUACUAGAUGAAGAGCAAAAUAACCGAUGUUCUCCUCGACCAUAUCGGCCAGGCUAGUGAUCAAUCACAUGAACAUACUCUACCACUACUACGCACGGCACGAUACAUAAAUCCUGCAACAGGAAGCAAAAUUUUGCUACUGGAUCAACAUCCACCGUCUUCUUCGGACUCAGACACAAGAACGAAACCGCCAAAAACAUGAAACAGAACAAAGAGGAGUAGUACUGCAACUGAAUCAUAGUCUGACACCGUCGAUGGUUGGCUGUCGUGAGGAGGGUGCAUUGCUGCAGUUGCUGGUAGGAUUUUGGUGUUGCUAUGUUCUUGCCGCAGAUGAUGAUAUAUGUAGAUGGGUGAGGUUUUGGACUCGAGAUAUUGCUGGGAGAUCACAUUUGCCGUCGCAUUCCAAACAAUUCGUGAGCCGUUUAGCUGGUUUAGUGGACAUUUGCCUUGCUGAUCAACUGUUUGGUAUACCCAGUUCUGUAUAAUUGUUUUGUGCCUGGAACUCCGAUCGAUUCCUUAUUCAUUGUUGCCGACCCUUACAUCAUCUCCUUCCCAGGUUCUUAUUGAUGAAUGGUCAAUACCAUUGGCCCCAAGGGAAAAUCUUCAGACAGAGAUGACAUUUUUAAUCUAAAUUAAGUGAAAGUAUCCGCAAAGCAGAAAAUGGCUGCCAUCAUGUUAUGUACUUGCAGCGGGGACCAAUCCAAGUUUGAAGAGAUGCCUCGAUCGCCAGAAUCUCUUGCAACACGGGAUUUCUCAGCAAAUGGUUCUUCGAGGACAGGAAAUCGAGAAGCGACGCCUGAUGAUAGCCACGUAAAUGAAGUGGAAUCAGACCUUAGAGAGAUAAAUUAUGAGGUUUGGGUUUGGCUGAAGCCCUCUCUCUUCAAAGGAAAUAGUAGUAGUUUCUUUUGCUGAUUUGCUCACUGGUAAGGUUUAUUUGAUUGUAUAUCAGGAGGCCCGAUUUGCUGGGAAGACUGGAAUAUCAGAGGGGAAAUUUUGAUGCAGCAUUGCAAGUUCUUCAGGGAAUUGCUUUUCUUUCACCUUCGUUGUACAACUUUUUCACAGCAUCUGUCGGGAGGAAUUCAUCCAACCAGACAUGGCUUGACGCGUCGCUGCACGCCAUCUGUGGAAGAACACAUAUGAAUAGGCCACCAUACUUGCCCAGCCCACAGCAAGCAUCAGUGGUAGUCAGAAAGCCUGCAUGUUGCAAUUCCAUCCAAAUGUGAAGCCCUUUUCAAGGAUAGCACACAAUUUAAAUACAGCACUGAUGAUGCAUUUGCUCACCGUAGCGGUCACGGUUACCGGAUUUUCGACUUUGAAGUAGUAUUAAUCCCUUUUUGGUCCAGCCGGGGUAGUACACUCUGGAUACCACUCGCUUCUGUCUAAUGCCCGAUGGAGCGAUGUCUCCAGCCUUCCAUCACAUUUAUCAUGUCGUGUGUGUCCACUAAAGAGAGAGUUUGAAUCGCUUACUAUAAGCCUAGAUGUAGCUGCCCGUAAUGUUUCAGCUCAGCUUGUUUCUCAUUCCUAUCAGCUUAAUAGUUCCGGCAGGCAGGCAGGAGUGGUUGAAGGUCGUUCGAGCUUUUACCGCAUCCAGUAUCAGGCAGACGUCAAGAUCAGUUAAAAAUUUCUUCAUUUAUAGUGAAGGCAAGAAAGCCGCUUUCUCCAUCUCAAAGUGAUACACACUCAUCGAUUCGUGGUUAACUUGCUUCCUUUGUAACGAAUAGCUUAGCUUUCCCGAAACCAGAUACAGGAAAUGCUGACCCGGAGGUCUCAUAUUCUAUUGAUCGAUCAAGAGAGAUCGGCUGUUGGCUAAGAUUAGACUAGGUUUGUUAAAGACCACUCACUAGAGCCAGUCGACACGCUUUCUCCUCUGGCGCAACAAGAAACGGCUUGCACCUCAAGUGCGCCCCUAUUAAUUAAUUAGUACUUUCUCGAGUCAAAAAGCGCGUCCAUCUCUAGAAGGAUCUGCCCCCAUCUCCGGUUCUUCUCUCUUUUCCAGAUCGAUAAUCAAAGGACCGGACCGGGCUGAUGGAUCGCAUGCUUAUAGGAUUUGUUGAUAGCAUGGCUUGCCUCACCUUCUCCUCUUCCGUUCUUAUCUCCAGCUCUUGGUCUUCGCCCUGGGUGCAAAAACAAAGUAGAGAGUUGGGUACUGGAUUCCCAGUUCAGGUGGUUAGGUACCAAAAGUGAUAAAUAGGCCCAAUUUAUCCUUUUAUACUAGAUUUCCUUAACAAGGGCAUCCAAUUCUUGAAACAAGUCACGCUCCCUUCUCUUUCCACUUUCACUUUCAUGCCCAGUUCUUUUUCGACUUGGCAAUCGUAGCAAUUUAUGUAAAGCCUCCUGAUCCGGAUAAACAUGCUCGAUACAUUCUAGUGAACUACGAAGAGAAGCUAGAACGGUGGAAGCCUGAAUCCAGUGAGUGCCCAUUCUUAAUAAACUUGGGAAUAGUAGCUCCUAUGGUUUCUAGAGCGAGUGAAUGAAACGCUAUCUUCUUAUGAGCGGAGAUAGAGAGCUAUGUCACAAUCAAUAAGUGAGAUGCUGUGGGCGAGGAAUCUUCUGUCACAAUAGAGGUCUUCUUUUCGAAUUUAAGUGGGACUAGCUUCUUCCUCAAUUGAUAUUACUGACAAUCUAGCAAUUCCAUCCUUUAGAAGAAGAUAAGUAAACCAUUUCUUUGAAUUGCAUGAUUGAGUGAUGGAUGCGGACAAUCACAAGCCUACUUUGUUUAUAGAAAAGAGCGUAUAACCCCCGAUCCCUACCUGUUGUAGAGAAUCUAUCGUCUAAACUCUUCUGUGCCAUUUGCCGCCUAAUACACUAUUUAAGUAUAAUGUUGUUUGCUGGUGCAUAUCUCUUGAUUGACUAUUUAUUGGUUAUUAAGCAUUAGUGAGCUGACCUAUGUACAAGUUCUGAGUCAACCCCCAGAUCUGUAUCUCCUUGCCUUGUAAUCUCUCAUUCAUCUAUUUAUGUGCAUGCUUUAGCGAAGUCUCCAGCCCCAUAAAUAUUAGUUAAUGCGUGAUGCGUAAAUCAAUAACUAAAACUAAAGUGCCGAUCAUCCCAUGCUACCACAGGAUUUUUCAACAACAUGACAUAUUGAGAAAAAUCUAUGUUAGAGCCGCCAUUUCUUUACGGUUACAUUAGUGUGGAUUGUUCUUCUGAUUCUGAUAGGCCUGGCACCCUAGCUUCGAUAGAUUUAUUUGAUUUUGCAAGCUAUGGCACAGGAAUGUGAUAUGGGUCGUAUCCCGCACCUCCCUUGAUUCCGUGUGAAAUCCAUCCUAAAAAGCACGAGUUGGCUCGGCGUAAAGAACAAGACGAACGUGGUAUUAUCUCUAUUAGGACGGUUAUGAGGCUCUGCUCUUUUUUUUCUUUAUUCAAUAUCUAUUCUUUGUUUCUUAUAUUCUGCUAAUUGUUAUCUUGAAUGUAUCUUUAUGCUUAAUAGAUAACUGGUGAUGCUAGAGCUGUCAAGAAGGCAUUGUUUGCAGUAUCAACCAUCAUCUACAAAUGCCCAUCAAAAGAGACCAUUUCUCUUGAAACUUCUGUCCCUUUAAAGUGAAGACAUUAGCAAGAACUACGGAUGAAAGAAGAUCGGAGUCGUGAACAGGAAAAGCUAAGACCGGUUAGGCCGAGAGGAAAGAAGCUUGUAUUUCUCGCCUUGGGCUUGAUCCAGGUGAGGAAGAAUUGGAGAUUGAAUGACUUUGCCGGGUAUUCUUUCCUUUGUAUGUAGGAUAACAAUCCUUUCCUCAAUCAAUAGAUUCUGCCCUCUGCCUAAAGCAGACCGGAAACAAGUAUCGAUCUGCCUGUACAAUCGGACCAAUUGACUUGGCAUACGCCUCUUCUCCACAGGCAUGCUUUCUUAGUCUCUAGUGGGCAUUGCCCGCCUCUCGUGGGGAACGUAUUGUUCUAGUAAAACCAGGCCCUAAAUCGUUAUUCCUUUCCGGAUUUAGGAUUGCGAUUUCCUUUAUUUGAUGACUGGAAUGUGCCGUAGGAUUGCACAUCUCGGCCUAAGGUCCGCUACUCCCCUUUCCCAAAGUCUAGGUGGUUCCAUUUAUUUCUUAAUCGGAGUUCGGGACAGUACAUGUAUGCUUUUAGCGGGAAUCCUCUGAAAGAUGGGAGCAUACGGAUUGAUUCGGAUCAACAUGGAAUUGUUACCUCAUGCUCAUUAUAGAUUUUCCCUGGGGAAUGACUUAUCUUGGAUUCAAAAACAAAGAAUAGCCUAGCAGAAGAAAGUAGUUAUUCUUGCAUCUCUGCUACUAGGAAAGUAAGUCAUUGACAAAGGACCCAACCCUUCUGAAUUCGCUGAGCGAGACCUAAGAUCGGAAUGAACAGCAGUCGAAACCCUGAGCCCAUCGUGUCUGCCAGCUAUGCAAUGGCUCUACUUGAGAUUCCGUAGGGAGAGCAGUCGCUAACCUUUCCUUCGGUCAAUCACGAGAAAUUUGCGAAUCGAAUCCGUUGUCAUUAGAGUGAUCAACUAUAUAUGCUAAUUAUUCAAACAGAUGCUCUCCGGUGGAAAUGAACCACGAGAGACUAAGCCCUGCCGAUAGCAGUAGAAGCGUUAGCCACAGAGUGACUUUUGAAUUGACACCCACUAGUGGUCAGUUUCUACUUCCAAGUUGACUGGACCAGGUACCACAUUUACUAUAGGAUAUGCUUAUCUGACGAGGUCCCUCGAGUCAUCUCUGCCACUUGGAAUUGCUUAUGAGCUGUUCUUAAAUGCUCUUCUUGGUAUGAAAUUGCCUACCUUCCUUAAGUCUUGCUUUCCCGAGAGCCCUCAUUUCAUAAAAUUCCACUGGCCAGUUAAUUCAUUAUGCUUAUUUUUCAAUGAAAGUUGCAUCCGAACAUGUUUCUCAACACGAAAAAGAAAGUCAUAUUGAGUUGUUAGAGAAAUCAAGUUCUAGCCAAAAUAGUGUACCAUCACAUGGUUUUGAUACUAAGCAGGAAAGUAUAGGAAUGCAAUGAGGAAAGACAGAUAAACACAUCGCCUCGUUUAAGACUUUCAAAGCAUCAGUUGAAUGACUAUUCUGCUCCAUUCGGAAAUACGAAAAAAUAUGUCCCUUAUUUGAGAUCUCUUAAGAUCAGCUAUUUGCUAAUAUGAUAAAGGUGGACGCUGUACUUGUCUGAAAACAGAAACUAUGAUGAUUCACAUUACUGGCUUGCUGUCCUUUGGCGGGAAAGCUAACAGGUGAACUUGCUCAACAUAAAGUGGAAGGAAAGUGUAGUAGAGAUAUUACUCGCUGUCUGAGAAGAUCUACUUGAGACCUCUGAACCAACUUCAUUCCACAGGAACGAAAGCUGAAUGAAAGUACUCAAGCUUCAAACUCCUUGCCAACCGAUAAAAGGAAUCAAGCUUAAAGGACUAUAUGACUAGCUCUUCCACAUCCUCGCCACCAUUCAUAAGGCUUUCAAGGAAUAUUGAGAUAUCUACAGAAAAGAGAAACAAACAUUCUCAGUUGGUCCACUAUUAGCGAGGCCUAAAGUCUUCACUUCAUCAGUCUAGGAAUAACACUAAAGUAGCACCCCUCACUACAUUCUUGUUCACUGAACAUAGAUCUCUAAAGAACAGUGCACUGGUACACGAUAUGAUCUGUCGUCAUGACCCAUGAACUGAGCUUCUCACUAAUCGAAAUGGUCCUCUCAGCAUGUUUCAAGGGAAGCAAGAGAUCGUUUUCUCAGGAUAUUAGUCACCCAAUCUUCCCAAUAGUAUUCCUUAACUCAUGAAUUGAUACACUUGUUCAUUCUCUUUCUAUUUCCACUGGUUUCUUUUGUUCACUUGCAAUGCGGCAUUUGAAUCCAUUUUACUCCACUUCUCUCUCUUUUCUUCCUGAUGAGGGUGAUGUACUCCGGGUACCUGAUCAUCAUGACUGGAAUUCCAGAGGAUUCCUUGAGUACUCGUUACUUCGAGGUCAAAUGGUGCGAUGGUAUUCAUCCAAAAUAGGAAACUGGUAGCGACUUGCAUUUGAUGGACUCUUCCUUCCUGUAGGAAUAGGGGAGAGUGGUAACGUGAGCCACCUUUCCUUUAUACAGCAGUAAUAGCACAUGCAAGUUCCUAGGGUCUAUAUAGCUAGUCAAGGAUCAUCAAACAAUUAGCAAAUCAUCAGUGGACUCCAAAUAGCUAUUUCAUUGAAUCGUACACGUGAUUAGGCGGGGACAGGAUUCGAACCUGCUGUCUUCAGGUCAUGAGCCUGAUGAGUUGACCAAUUCCUCUACCCCGCUUUAGUCUAAACCUUUCAUUAACAUACAUAAAAUAGAGUUCGAUGCCAGGCGGAUACUUGACAUGUUCCCCUCGGGAUACCUUCUUCUUACAUAAGCAUCUGUCUCUGAGGUUGACAUAACAGAUCUAGCUAAUGAUACAGGAACCGUUGGCCAGAUGAAAGGAAGCAGGCAAGUCGAUUGAUCAAGGAGAAAACCUUGAUCUUUCCUUUACCCCUAGAUUUCGGAUUAUCCGGAAGGAGCACGAGGAGAUUUGGCACAUCAGCACGCAUUCCUACUACUUGUUAAAACAAACUGCUAUCAUGGCAAAGCUCUACUAAGCUAUAUCAAUAGGCUCCGCUCCUUUCCUGGACUGGACUGAAACUAAUAGGCUGCUUCCUCGUCUGUACUUCAACUAGGAGGUUGUUGAUAUCACUCUAGAUUCUCGAAAGGAUAUUGGAUUGAUUUCAAAUCAAGGAAACUAUUGAAAUCGGGUAGCGAACCUAUUGUUCCUUAUUCUUUUGUCCUCCUCGGCUCUAGUUGAACAAUGCACACACCCCGCUUUAGCUGCACAUAAUAAGGUGAUCCGUGAGGCGGCUAGCUAUUAGUUAGUGCGAUGUGCAGUGAAGUGAGAGAUCUCUCUACUCUAGUAGACCAGAUGAAAUAGCUGCAAUGACUAAUGUUUGAUUGGGAAGACAGAAUACAUACGUUGACGUGCCCAGUCGAGCUACCGUAAGGUAGUCUAGUUAAGGAAAGGAAACCGGCUAUUCCCCUCACGCUAAGGGUGCGAUUCCUUACUCUCGCCAAGAUUCAUCUUUCUCCCCAAGCUGGGUUUAAGCUUUCUAUCUGUCCUUUCAGAUCUGAACAAAAAAUAAUAGAAUAGUAGGGCCCUUGAUUUAUGGGAUAACCCGACCAAAGCAUAACGAUAGGAUUCCUAGCAAAAGGCAGGGCAAGUGAGUUCUACACGAUAUUCGAUAAUGAAACGAGCCUUCCUCCUUCCUGGAACCUCUGGAUCCGAGGCCCCGGCACCCGAGUAAGUUAUCAAACCUGUUCUGUUUGCUUGUUUCCCGUAAUCCGUAACAGAGGCCUUUGCUGGCACUUCUCGUCUCACCUAGCGCGAUGCGAAGUUCAGUAGCAGACCAGAAACAAAUAUCGACUUCUACUCUCCAAAGCAGACCAGAAACUAGUAUCGACUUAUCCUCGGGGGGAAGAAGUCUUCAUUGGGCCCAUUGUCAAAUAGCUCUGAGGAAAAGGCUGCACUGAACUAGAAACCACUAGGUUCGCCUUGCCCGGGAGGACUUGAUCUUCUUGAUUCAGCAGAUCAACGCAUCCCACUAUCUGAAAGAAAAGAAGGAACGCAACCUUUCUCUUCUCCAGAACUGGACGGGGAGAGUAGUAUCCUGCACUAACCAAUUAGAAGCAAGAGCUAUGGGCAUACUUAACUAGAACUCCCUCUUACUUAACUUCACUAACCAGCCCUAACUUAAUGGAACUUACCUUAGUACACUAUUUCUAUUAUACAGAGCAAGAGAAAGAAAACGAUCUUCUUAUCUUAUCAAUCCUAAGCAGGAAAGUCCUGUUAGUGAGUGGUAAAACAAUAGAUCCGACUAAACUAGUCCUCGUAGAUUCAAGUAGUGGAUUGGUACAAUGGUUGUCUUCUCCUUUUGUCCGUAACAGGUCCAAAACUCAAGACUUUGCGCACCCACCAUUCACUAAAUUAAGGAAGAGAAGCGGGUUGUGAAGCCCCUACUUUGAAGGGGCUAUUCUGCCCUUACUUUUUGUCACUCAUACACGAAGUCAGUAGUGAAACGGGUUCCCCUACCGUAAUCUUUCACUAGCCCCAAUGGAUACGCACAUUCGAUAGAAUCAUAGUUUCCCCUACUUUCAAUUGCUAAUCGACGAUGAAGCUCUUUCCCCUUUCUUCGACCUCCUUCCUGAUAUCCCUUAACUAAUACUUGCCCACCUCCUCUCAUUGAGCACUGUCUUCAGCAAAAGCAGGUUUCUAGUUUGCUUUGUUUGCGGACAAGAAGGGAGAAGUGAACUACUGACUAAACCAGAACUCAUACUAGCCCAUUCCUUCCCAGAACUGCACCGACUACAAGAUGUAUGAACCUAUCGAUCCACUUCUAGGGCGGAGAUUGUAUUUCUCUUUCGAGCGUUCAAAGCUCCAAGUGCUAGAAUCAAUGGAUGCAUGCCCAGCUCCAAAUACAGAUGCAAAGCCUCCAGACGGUGCUGAUUCGGGAAGUAGUUGCGGUCACGUUUUCUUCUGGUGGAUGGUAUCGAUCAGCGUUUGAAGGAAGCUCUGUUUUCCUAUCAGCAUUAGUCAGCUUUCGAGUCCUUCAAGCGAGUGCCGCAGGGAAAGGAAGAGUAUUUCAUCAUGGCUAUUUAUUAGGACUACUUGGAUAAGUUAGGACAGUUUCUCUAAGGCCAGCUGUUGAGUUAGUCGGUUCAUAGGUUGUCGUAAAAUAUGGCUUUUGGAAGCCUGGACUCUGAUUACCGAUUAUGAAAGCGAGGACUCUUUUUCUCUCUCCCCAUUAACGGAAAACUAUCUUAACCUCCUUCAGCAAGUUCGUUAUCUACAAGUAAGUUAGAGAAUUCCUGUUGUCAAGCUAGUUAUCUUAUACAAGACUUUUCUAUAAGGCCUGCAAGCAGGUUCAGGUGGAAGCAGGAAAGUAACACCACCUGGUUUUCUCACGGGGAUGCCCCUUCCUUUCUAUUCUAUAUUUGGCUGGGAGCCUUCUUUUACGAAUAAGCCAUUCUCUACCUUUCAUCUCCCUGAGUCACAAUUGGUGGUAAAUCUACGGUUUAUGGUUCACAUAUUUGCCAUCUGGAAGACUAUUUCCUUUUGAUCAGCUUCUCUACAUGUCGAGAGACAGAAGUCAACCAUAGCCAUAGCACAGAAAGAGAAAUGAAAAUGUCCAUUGUACAGAAUGCAAUUCCACUCCUGAAUAGUAACCCUUGUUUGUGGCUUUUGAGUCACAAUGAAAAGGAAGAAAGAAGACUUUUCUAAGCGGCAUCGUCCUGAUUCAAGCUAUUGAUCAACCUUCACUUUCACUUCCCGAAGGGCGUUCGAAGCACCCAAUCAAGGGUACUUCUCUCUAGCUUACAGAAACAAUCACUUAGGCUGACGAUGAGAAGUUUCGCCCCAUGGCGAGUAAGAUGUUUUCCAAUCCAUGGGAAUGAAAGACAUAGAUAGCGAGCGGGCUACCCACUCUAAACCCACGCCAAUCCUUACCAUUGGUAACUCUAAUUACAAGCCUAAUUUGGAACAGAAUACCGGUAUUUUCUUUUGAUUCAAGCACACGAGUCCGAUCUCCGGUUAGUCAGAUCCAUGCAUCGAAGAUGGGAGCUAGCCAGGAACUAGAUAUGGUAUUCUCUUUACUGCGCGCGAUAGCUUAGUAAACUCUUUCCUGAUCUGUUCUAUUGGGCUCACUUCUGCUUAUUCGCGUAGAGAGGCAUAUUUCAUUCGAUUUGGCUUUAGUUAGUACUUUUUUAGGGCAAGAGUAGGAUUCAGGGAAGGAAGUGCUUGCCUUUCACCUGCUGAUUGAUUCUUAUCUAAAACGAUUAUGCUUGGUCCUAUGUAAAUAAAUGUCACAUGCUAUGUUUUUCUAUGGCCUAGAAACGGCUUUAUCCACCUGUUGUAGGGAAUGCCUCAACGCAUGUGUCUACCCACUCUUUUGUGUAAUAUGCUGGAACUCUCUCUCACCUCGAAAUGCCAUUUAUAGAUAGUUAGAAUGUGCUUGCUGAUAUCGAAACACUCCUGGGGACGCCUGACCAACUUGAGAUGCUCUUGUAGAAAGAACUCUAUUUUGAUCUAAUCACCGGAACAGCAGCUUUAGGGCAGUAUCCCACAGCUGGCUAAUAAAUAUGCCUUUGCAGUCGUUAUGAGCGAUAUCUUGGCGUACCAUUAAAGGGAGUCAGUGGGCACCGUAAGUAGUAAUCGAGAACUUGAUGAACAUACCAACCAGUAUGUGAAUCCGUAAGUGGAGGUUUUUUAGGCUAUAUCUAGCUUUCCCUGCCUGGUGAGCCUAGUCUUUCCAUGAUUUCAGUUCAGAAGGACUAUCUGAAUGCCAUAUACCAAUCUCAAUCCUCCAGCUAAUAACCUAUCACACACAGUGUGAUAUCUCCCUUUUCUCCAUCUGCAGAAACUCCCUUCCCUAUGUGACUUCAGCUUUCACCGGAUGCGGAAUUCUCGUUUUGUCCUUGGCUUAUUCUUUCUCAUGUCUCUAUAUAGGUAUUCUUGUCUCUCUGCUCUGUUGAGCCUUGUUGCCAUUUCUUAUCUCCGGCUAUGUGCCCAGCCCACCCGAUCCUAUUGACCAGUGCUGUCUGACCGAAAGGGAAAGAUUGGGGAGAAUACCUUGAGCUUGCCUUUUCCUUGGAUACUCAAUGGAUUUCCCACGGCAUUAAGGAUUUCCUGUUUCCCCGAGUCAAUCUUCCAGUUCCGGUUUCCUUUCAACCAAUUCCAAUCAGAGGAAGGAAGUCGGCUUUAGUUGCUCGCCCGCGCCUCCUGGGCUAAUUCAAAUCCUAUGCUCCAUGCUCUUGCGGGUUUGCUCCAUUUGAACUUGUCCACACUGGCAUAACCAGUAUCUCCCCGGAACUAAGAGGCAUGGAUACCCAUCUUUAUCGAUUCAAAGAAAUGAAUAAGUAUCAGCGAGGCGGGGAAUACGGGCCCGGUAGAGAUAGGGAUGAUCGGCAAGCGCUACGAGCGGGGCCGAUGUUUCGUGUUGUGGGUGGCCAUCGGAUUGUUCAGCGUGCCCAUGCGGAUCCCUACCAAUGUCCUAGACUACAAGUUCGACAAACUUCCGGCUUGGGUCAGGAUACAAAGUUACCCGGGAUGGGCUUGCCCUCUGGAUCACGCUGGGUCCUUGCUUGUUCCAACAUCAUGCUAGGAAUGUAUCACGUGCCCAUGCAAACCAAAGGAAAGCAGAUACAACUAUUACAGAUCCUAGUCCUAUUUCCCAUCAGAACAUAAGGGAGUGGGCUUCCUUUGUAACAGCUCUGUUCUGGUCGUGGCUCACCUCACUGCACCAACGCUUCUGGUCGGAAGCUGGUCGAUCGCCUGGUCGGCAACCGGCACAACACCUUUGCCAGUGGGAUUUCUGUUGGUUUUCGUACUAUGCGCAAUGAAACUUUCCAAAAAAGGAGAGCUCUAAAAACAGCGUUCUACGGGGAGAAUGUGAUUUUUGUAUACUUUGACCCCAUACUGGCAUGAAACUGAUCGGAAAAAGGACCUCAAAAACACCCAUUUAUUAGGGGAAUGUGAAAAUUGAUGGUUUUCGCCCAUACUGGCAUGAAACUUUCUCUUUUAUUGAGCUCAAAAACAGGCAGAGGCAGAGCCGCGUCGGGCAACGAACAAGUAGAGAGUCGGAAGAUAGUUGCAGCUAAAGCUAGCAGUAGUUGGAGCUAAAGCAAGCAAUAGGUAUUCGGAUAGUUGUGUUGAUAGAGGUUGCUAUAAGCCCUUGAUUGGGGAGACCGAGGGAUAGCAAUGCUGAACCACACUAUUCUUUUCUAUUUAGAUUUUGCCAGUGCCUCCCUUUAUGGCAGAGCGAGCGCCUUGACUAAGAUAGAUUGACUCUUUCAUUCUUUUUUUUAUUUUAUUCUGGUUCCAAUCGUUUGAGGAAAACCCCCUUUGGCAUCAAUGAAACUCUGUUAUAUAGGAGUUCAAAAACCUCAUUUCGUUUGAGAGAUAGUGGAAUUUCUUCUUUCAACACGUACAUCGACGAGGGUGUCGAUGACUUGAGUGAGGAAUGGUCAUGUGCUAGAGGCCGUACCUUUGGAGUAAGACCUCAACAAGGGGGUGUGCAGUUUAAAUGUAAAUGACGAGCAUGGAGAGGCCAAGGUCAUUUGUAAUUAGGUGUGGCUGAUGCAAGAAGACUGGCGAGCUGUCCAUGGUGAGAAAAGUUGUGAUGCUACUGCAGGGGGCAUCCUAGUGUAGUUGAGGGCGCAGAACUUCUGUGCGGGUACAACUGGCACUUAAAAGACCUUCCGUGUAGAUGAGUUCUCUUGAGUGAGACUAAUCGAGUUACGAAGAAACCUUUGCGAUGGUGCUGUGCAGUUGGGUUCUCUAUGGAGGAACUUCGUUGUGGGGACCAAGGGGUCUUCUUAAGAAGAGUUGCUUUGAUGAAAAGAGUGUAGCCAUGAUGGCAAGUCAAGGUGGGGCCCUGUGAAGGCAAGCCUUGUGUAUGUUGGCGUGAUGACGAGAGAAAGGAAAUGCCCUGGAACAAUAGCUGUCCGUAGCACACCCUGCAAUGACUUCGACCAGCGGACCAGCCUAUCCAAUACCCUACGCCAUGACCUUAGAAGUUCGUACCCCAUGAUAUUCAAUGACACCCGUAGACAUUUGAUCAUUCAUACCUCACAGUACGCUUUCUUUCUUUUUUUUGGACUUUGAAUUCCAAGCGAAGGAAGCUCAGUGAAAGAUAGACUGGGAUUUGACAGCAAGAAGAAAGCAAUCAUAGUACGCGGCACACACCGCUGACGAAUGAGAUUGACGUCCCAAACCAACACAGGUUCAAGACUAAGUGCAGAACCAAGAAUGUCGUGGAUAGAAAAGUGAGUGCUUCCUCAAGCUUCAUGAAGGAAGGGUCCAAGGACCUAAGCGACAACCUCUAUGAAAAAGAAAAACCUAUAUAUAGAUAGUGGUAUGUGUUCGCUGACACUAAAUAGACUUGGCUCGGGGCAGAACUGAGUGGCUAGGCUAAGUUCCCUAGUCUUCUAUUGGCCUACCCACCCCUACGACAUGGAGGCGCUUACCCUUCUCCAACAAGCGUUCCACCACGCGGCGAUUGAUUACCGCUUUCCGUCUCAAUCCGUUCCAGACCAAGCCCCUUCUCUGAUCGGGGGAAGGUCAUUCUAAAACAUCAGAUCUCCCAUUGAUGCUGAUCAAAAAUAAGUUUAUCCACCUAGAAUAUAUUCUAGGUACCGAAAGAUUGGAUGUCAUUUCUCAACACCAGGCGGGACGAGCAGCCCUAUACCACGUGUAGCCACACUCUAGUGUCCUUUUCUACUUAGUUGGACAGAUCACUUCAGAAAAUCGUAUAAAAAUCAAGCAAGAAAACGGAUGCGCUAACGCGCAAUGGAUUUCGCGCUAGUUGCUCAAAAAAUCGUAUAAAAAUCAAGCAAGAAAAAGGUUCUGGCAGGCUGCGUGGGACUGUAAAUCCUCUUUCGCUGGCUGGGCCCUUUGGACUCGAAAUCCAAACGGAGUGAGUGGUUCGAUUCCACUCUCAGAACGAGACUGAACGAAAGAAAAUGCAAGUGAAACGAGACGAGAAUCAAAUUGUAGGCUUCUUUCCUAAAAGCGGUGGUUCUCGCCUCCCCGUGCCCAAAGCGGGGUGGGCGACAGCGCUGCGGUUCUUUUCUUUAUCGAUCGGUCGUGACGCCUUUUCCUUUUGUAUGAGAAAGCGCUACAAAACAUCCUUCUCGCGGGUUAUCUUCUACUCAAGCAAGCUCUCUCCUAUUCUUCAUCCACCAACUAGCAGGAACGUAGGAGCACAAGAGGGUCAUCAUCUUCUGAAACGAUUGGCUUUCGAUCUGCUUUCCAAGAGGUGGUUUCUGACAUGACCAGAAAGAGUGGAAUUCUUGUUAGGAUUGGCAUGUCAAGUUGCUUUCUCGGACCCUAACAUAAACCACCUUAUCCUCACUCAGAUUGUUCUUUUGGACUGAGCAGAAGCACGACCUCUAUCUGACGUUUUCUCUAUCCCUUCUAAUCUCUCAAUGGCAUUUCCAUCUCUCGAUUCAAUCAAUCAAGUAAGUCCGGAUGACACUUGUCUUUAUUUAGUGUUUCCCCGGCUAUUCAGCCAUUACUUGCAUCUCAGGUUCUUUGUACCCUUUUUUAGUGCCAUGCACACUGAGGUUUCUGGCAUGACCGAAUCUUUUGAGAAUAUCGCUUAUUACGUUAAUUUCUUCAUCUUGAUGUACUCAAUCCAUUCAAAUUCCAUAAUUCCAAUGCUAUAGUGCCGUUUUUGAGUUCCUGUUUAACGACGAUGCAAGUGUAUUUCAGCAGUGGAUGUUCCCUUCUUUUGUUUUUUGAUUUACAUGUUUUGGCUCGCUUUCGUCUUUUUCUGCGGCUAACUAGUAUAGAAAAUCCAAGUGGACGUUGUUCUUAAACUCCAUAAGGAUUAGAAGGUGGUUCUACCUCGUUGGAUGGCAUUCGUAAGCAGCUAUGAUAUUUCUUAUCUUUGAUUAAGCGAAGCGACCUGGGAUCUUUCAAGGAAUGAGAUCCGGGUAUAUAGUCAUGAUCUAGUGUUUAAGGAUUUUAUGACUGACCUCCUUAUGAGUCAUUUUCUUUACAAUGAAAUUCCGUUAGCUCUGUUUCCUCGCUUCCUCCGGCAAAAAGAGGAUAAUCGGUACCCCGCUGCUUGAUCCUCUCCCNNNNNNNNNNNNNNNNNNNNNNNNNNNNNNNNNNNNNNNNNNNNNNNNNNNNNNNNNNNNNNNNNNNNNNNNNNNNNNNNNNNNNNNNNNNNNNNNNNNNCCGAGUCUUGGGUUUUGUUUGGCCAACUAGAUCUAUGAUUCUUGCAAUGGGAGAAGUGCUUGGUUUUGGGUUCUACCAUGUGGUGACCUUUCCCAGUGACAGUAGGGGCAGCAAGGCACACAUCAAGUAGUUGCCAUCAAGGGUAAAAAGAUGGGGUUUUAUCAUUGGUUUGAGAUUAUCCCUCUACGUCAUGUCAUCUUUCUUAAGGCGUUACUCUGUUCUAAUGGACUUAAUACACUAGAUGCAUGCUGGAUAGCGGUCGACGUGUGGAGUAAUAGUAGUAGAUGCAGAAACUAUCGGUCUACUUGUUUUGGACGUGAUGCCUAUAGAAAUUAUCAUUGCAUAGGUAUCGUCACGACUUUGCGCGGUUCUAUCAAUUGCUCGACAGUAAUUUGUUCACCCACCGUCUACUUGCUUUCAUGAGAGAAGCCACUAGUAAACACUACGGCCCCCGGGUCUAUUCACAUCCAUCGUUUACAUCUCCGCUUUUACUUUGCUUUGUUACUUUGUUGCUUUCAGUUCUCACUUGGCAAACAAUCUNNNNNNNNNNNNNNNNNNNNNNNNNNNNNNNNNNNNNNNNNNNNNNNNNNNNNNNNNNNNNNNNNNNNNNNNNNNNNNNNNNNNNNNNNNNNNNNNNNNNAUUGAUUGUUGUCAUUUCUAUCGGUAGGCUCCGCACCCCCGGAUUCCACCGAAUAUCCGUCUGACGGAUAUUGUCCCUCCUCUGAGCAACAAGGCAAGCAACCAUUUUGAUCAUCCCGAUAAAUCCCAUAUUCUUGCUCCUGCACUUAUUUAUUGCAUUAGGAUCAAAUUCAAAUAGCCGAACCCCUAAACCCACUUCCUUUGCAUGACCUAUCCUUGUCACAGUAAAUAGCCGAACCUUGCAACCUAGCAAACCUGGUAGUUGCUUGAGCCAUGAUGUGCCUUAUCCUGCUAUGCAUGCUAUGCUUAGAUUUGUGUAUGGUCUGUCAUCUGGGAGAUGAAUACAAUUGUGAGAAUGUGUUCGGUAAGCAAAGGUUGUGUGUUAAACUUGAGUUGGUAAAGGUACCGGCGAAAGGCUGUGUAGGAGUACAUGGCGGGUUGUUUCAUUGGAACCGUCCUUAGGAACUGAGUUCCGUGUAUGUAAACCAAGACUAGAUACUACCACAUGCUGGGCCCUGAAAUAUGACCCCGCUCGGCCUAUUAAUCGCUUAGUACUCGGUCCAGGAGUUGCAAGUAGUUUCUGGUGUUUAUAGUAAUGCUGGAGGCCGUGCAUGGUGCUGACAUGAGAGGUGGGCCGUGAUGCGGUAGGCAGUGGCACGGUGUACCAAGUGGCACCCGGAUGGUGGGCUUGGGAACCCUGCGCACAUCGUUUGAAUCCGUGGCGGAAACCUCGGCCGGACUUCCGUACGGGUUACUCUCAGAUAGGCGAUAAACCUGGACUAGGUACUAGUGUGGUUAACGGUCGUGGCCGACUCCCUCGCUGGGCUUCCGCUUGAAGGUUGCCGAGGUGCAUGACGUGCACAUGGCGAUAAGUGGUGAGAGGAUGUGUGACAAAGUACACCCCUGCAGGGUUACGAUCUAUUCGAAUAGCCGCGUCCGCGGCUAUGGACUACUUGGAGACAUAUGUUGUUCAUAGAUAACUGCAAUGGCUACUCAUAAAAUUGUCAAGAUAAGCGUGAGUGUCGUGGACGGCAUUUCCGUAUGGAGACGGAAUGAUUCCACGUUGGUGUAUUGUUGUGGUGGUUAGUGGACUCGUGUGCGAGAAAUCAAGUUGUCAAAAUGAUUUAAAAAUGCAAGUUGUCUAGCCAUGAGUCAAAUGCUGGCUUUCCGCAUGAAACCCCACAAUACCUUAUUGAUACCUUGCAUGAGUAGAUAGUUAUCCUAAAGUCUUGCUGAGUACCUUCGUACUCAUGUUUGCUUAAUAAAUGUUGCAGAGGUUGCUAAUGACCCUAAUGGAGGGUUCUUCGUAGACAUCGACGAUGACGAGUAGCUGGUGUCCCAGCUACGAUCUGGCCCUAGGUUGGGUCUGUAGUAUAGUCACGCCAUGUGCCUUCUAGUUGCACCUGUCUGUACUCAGACAGUUUUAAACUCUUCCGCUGGCUUGUAACUGAAUGACUGUUAUUAUGGGUUGUGAGACCCUUAAUGUGUAAUAUUAUGUGUGAGGCUCUUCCGAGGCUCUUAAAUAAAGUUUGUAUGUUAUGGUUAUGUUGUGAUUCCAUCGAUGUAUCUAUACAUAUCGGUAUGCCAUGCGUACUGUGUUGUACUUGAUAUGUAUGGGGUUCGAUUACCUAGUCGUCAACUUUAGUAGCACUCCUUACAAGGAAAUGCCCCUUUGUGAUCCAAUGAGCCAUGGUACUUCGCUACAGCCCCGGACACAUUGGUUGACCGGCAUGUGUCCUUCUUAGCUGCUGUGUCUGUCCCCUUUGGGGAAACGUCAUGCGAUGUAAUGGAGUCCUUGUAGCUUGCUACGACUCGUCUACACUCGCUGGUGACCGACACCUGCUUUGUUGGGUCAUGUAUGCUUGUCCUUGUGCGGUACUGCCACUUUGGUUUGUGACUAGAAUUGUCGAUCCGGGUUCUUUGACAUUGGAAUGCUAGCGACACUGUUGCAUACGUGAGUCAAAAGACGCAAACGAUCCCUGCUAAGGUAAGGCUGCAGCCGUGGAGUUAACCGUGCGUGAGACCACAAAGAGAUGCGAUGUGUUACAGGCUGGAUUCCUAUGACUUAGGAUCGGCGUCCCGACAGAAAAUCCCCUGGAUCCACCCUGGUGGCAGCGGAGUCUGACCUGGCUUCCUCGCCUUGCCGCCCUUCUUGGCGUGCUCGAGUUUGGAGGUCUUGUUCUUCAGCAUAGUCGCGACGAUGGGGAAAAUCCUAAGAAAAGCUUGCAGGACGAAGGUGGAGAAGAAGAAGCAGGAAACGAUCAAGGAAGGCACAACCUUAACCCUAGCGCCAGCCGCAUUUAUAUAAUCGACCGACUGUGUCACCGACUGGUGGGUCCCCCAGAUCUCAGCUUAUCCCGAUAUCAGAGGAGACGUGACGCGUGGCGAUGAUGAUGGUGUGAUAAUCAAGGCGUCAUUGCUCCACUUGCCCUGCCAGUUGUGUCAUCCCCGUGAGGCACGCAGAAACCAAAAUCUGGAAUCCCGUGAAAUCUGGGCCUGCCUCAGUGAUCCGUCCCAUGAAAAUAUCCCGUCAGUCACUCGGAGUAACUCUAAGCAUCUAAAAUCACUCAGAAAAACUUCACAACAGAAUCGAUCGAGGAGAGUGACGAAGAUUUCAGUCGGCACGAAGUUUCAUCCAUCCCAGGAAAAUGACAAAGGUCAGUGUGGUUCGACAAGAACUCACAUCAACCCCUUCGUCAGUCGAACCCCGAUCCAUUCGGGGGCUAAUGAUGGGGAUAUGUACCUAGGGUAGGGUCACAGGCCUGACCUAAAUGUCCUACCCAAGGGUACCUCAUUAUUAGGCCAAAGGUCACACAGAAGAUUCCGACUGAAUGUACAUGGCACCAACCAGUCACUCAAUACACGUAUAUUAUUUAAAUGCCUUUCUGUGAUGCCACAAAUGGUCUCUUAUGAAGGAAAGUUAUUCUUAUUGCUUUCAAAAUAUUUGAGAAAAUUUAGGGAAACCCAGUGGACAUAUAUAUUUCAUAUAUAUGAGUUUAAUCACAUGGUCAUGUUCAAAAUAUUGGGCAAACCCCUUCAAAACCCUUCCUGCCUAUUUCAAACUUUUGGAAUAUUUCUAUAAGAAAUGUUCUCCAUUUAUUCCUGUAAAAUUCUACCAUGUCACAUAUGAUAUAUGUGAUGAUCUUGCCAAUUUAGCAACUCUACAUUGCCAAGUGUCUCCAAUUGUGCUCAAAUUUGGUGGACAAGUUUUGAUACUCCAAUAAUGCAUCCACACCAAGUGGUGCAUCAAGGAGAAUAGAAGAACUUGUCCCAAGACCCUCAAAACCCUCCCUGUUGAUUUCAGACUUUGGGAAACUUUACAUUAUAAAGUUUCUCGAAUUGACCCCCAAAAUUUUUGGGCAUGCUUUAAUGCUCAAAUAAUGCCCCCACACCAAAUACUGGAUUUGUGGGAAUAGAUUUGAAUAGCUUUGUAAGCAGAAGGCCACUUCUGCCCAUUUCAUGGGUUUUCCAAGUCUACAUUGGAAAUCUUCUCCACCAAAUCACAAAUUUGGUGUCCAAGCUUAUUUUCAUUUUUUUGAUGCCGUUAAGUUUCAUAUCCAUUGAUGUCCAUAUGGUUGCCGUGACACUCAUCAAACACCUUGUGUGCACUCAAUUUAUUGGCUAGUUUGACCCCUUCCACUUUCACCCUUGAGCUCAACUUUCUACCACAGCCUCUCCUAGUUACCUUUUUACUCCAGUAGCUUUGCCAUGGCAACUAAACAAUUAUUGGAGAGAUGCCCGUUGUAGCUACUUCUCAUUUUACGCUUGGAAUCAUCAUUUUUACUCCUCUUGCCCCACUUCUGUUUAAGCCAAAGCCCCCAUCUCUUUCCAGAGAGCCCCUAGCAUCCCAAGGCAUCAUUUCAAACCAAGAUAUGAUAUACUCAUGUGGAGAAAAUGAGCAGCACAUCUGCAAGUUGAAUUGUGGCUGAAAUGUAGCUUUGUACACCAAUUACUAGCUACCCUCCUUUGAUUGAUCUCAGACUUGGCAUUGUGGUAGUCCUUCCAUGAAUAAGACUAGUAGUCCUUCCAUGAAUAAGCUUUGCAAGAAAUGUGACUUAGGAAUUGGUCACGGGAUCUUGUAUUACGAUACAAGUAAAGAGACUUGCCGGUAACGAGAUUGAACUAGGUAUGGAGAUACCGACAAUCGAAUCUCGGGCAAGUAACAUACUGAAGGACAAAGGGACCAACAUAUGGGAUUAACUGAAUCCUUGACAUAGAGGUUCAACCGAUAGAGAUCUUCGUAGAAUAUGUAGGAGACAAUAUGGUCAUCUAGGUCCCGCUAUUGGUUAUUGACCGAAGAAUGUCUCAGGUCAUGUCUACAUAGUUCUCGAACCCGCACAGUGUGCACACUUAAGGUUCAAUGACGUUUCGCUAUAGUUGAGUUAUAGGUGUUGGUGAUAGAAGGUUGUUUGGAGUCCUGGAUGAGAUCCUCGAUGUCGCGAGGAGCUCUGGAGUGGUUCGGAGGUAAAUAUUGAUAUAUAGGAAGUCCUGUUUUGGUCACCGGAAAAGUUUCGGGCUCAUCGGUAGUGUACCGGGAAUGCCGGGAGGGUAUCGGGGACCAUCGGGAGGGGUGUCAUGCCCCGAGGGGCCUCAUGAGCUCUGGGAGGAGACAAACCAGCCCCUAGUGGGCUGGUCUAAGCCCCCACUAAGGCCUAUGAGGUUUGAGAAGGAAAAAACAAAAAGGUUGAAGAGGAGGAAAGGGUUUCCAAGUGGUGAUGAGGAAUCCUACUACUAGUAGGAUUGGAGUAGGAAUCCUCCACCUCUAAUUUUGGCCGAACCUUGAGGGUGUGAGGCUUCCUCCUCCCCUCCCUCCCUCCUAUAUAUACUAGAGGAAUUAGAGGCAGCCCUAACCAUAAUUGCCACGUGCUCCCUCUACUUCUCGCUAGGUCUGUUUCUCCUCUAGUCUAGUUCGGUAGUGCUUAGGCGAAGCCGUGCUGGAUUAGUGCACCACCACCACCACCGCGCCACCGUGCUGCAUAACUCAUCUAUCUCUCCACCCCUCUUGCUGGAUGAAGAAGUCGGGGAUCGUCAUCGAGCUGUACUUGUGUUGAAUGCGGAAGUGCCGUCCGUUCGGCACUAGAUCGGGAUAGAUCGUGAUGGGAUCGCAGGACAGAUCGUGAUGGGAUCACAGGACAGAUCGUGAUGAGAUCGCGGGAAGGGCUGCGAUUUGGAUCGCGAAGAUGUUCCACUACAUCAACCACAUUAUAUACGCUUUCACUUAACGAUCUGCAAGGGUAUGUAGAUUCACUCUCCCCUCUCGUAGAUGAUCAUCACCAUGGAUAGGUAUUGCGUGCGUGUAGGAAACUUUUUGUUUCCCAUGCAACGUUCCCCAACACUUCCCCACACUUCCACCAAGAGAAAAUUUGUUCCCCCCAUUAAUCCCUCGCGGAUCUUGUUACUCUUGGGUGUUUGAGCACCCUAGAAGGAAUAUGUCACCACGAAGCCAUACUCCAUUAUGGUGAAGCUUCGUGAUCUCGUUGGGAGCCUCCAAUUAAGUUGUGGAGAUUUCCCCAACCUUAUUUGUAAAGGUUCAGUCACUGCCUUCAAGGGCACCACUUAGUGGAAUCACGACACCUCGCAUUGUGUGAGGGCAUGAGGAGAAUAUGGUGGCCUUAGCGGCAUCUUGGGGAGCAUUGUGCCUCCACACUGCUCCAACAGAGAUGUACUUCGCUUCAAAGGGAUGGAAGUUUGGAAACAUAUCCUAGUCUUCAUCGGUCCACUUGUGGUUAUUUCUCACCUUUACUUAUAUUUACUUCUUGCUUAUUAUUGUUAUUGUUAGCAUCAUAUAUCUUUCUCACUUAGUUGCAUAUCUAGACAACCUAUUUGUUGCUAAAUCUAAUUUGGUUAAAGAAAAGUUUAAAACUGUUAGUUGCCUAUUCACCCCCCUCUGGUCAACAAUAUCAAUCCUUUCAGUAACCAAGUAGGAAACCUUCAUGAGAUUUAGGAGCAAAUUUUAAAUGACAAUGGUUAUCAAGAAUGUAGCACUUUGAGAAAAAUACCCGAAAGUAUCCAACUUAGGGUUUGUUACCUAUGAGUAGCUUGUAUGUCAUUUGAGUGAGAAUCUUGUGUAGGUAGAGUCAGUUUGUUCCAUGACAAGUUAUUUCCACGGCUUUUGCCCAAAAGAGUCUUGGUGUCUUGUAUUCGUCGAGCAUCAUUCUAGCCAUCUCUAUGAGAAUCCGGUUCUUCCUCUCAAUAUCUUCAUUUCUUUGAGGUUAUACGUAGCCGAUAAGUCAUGUGAUAUAACUUCUUCAUCAAGAAAGGUGUCCACAUUGGUGUUCUUGAACUCCGAUUCAUUGUCGCUCUGAACUUUCUUAAUCUUCACUUGAAAAUAAUUUUGGAAUUUCUGAGCGAAGUUCUUGGAGAUCUUUUGUACACGAUAUUUUUCAUCAAGAAAUAAUACCCAUGUAAAUAUGGAAAAAUCAUCAACUGUAACUAUGCCAAUAGAAUUUCCACCGAGGAUCUUGUAGGCAUUGGAACCAAAGAGAACCAUCUGAAGCAGCUCGAGUGGUCUCCUAGUAGUGAUGAUGUUCUUCGCAGGAUGACUUCCACCUACUUGUUUUCCUUCUUGACAAGCACUAAAAUGUCUACCUUUGUCAAAUAUAACAUCUUUAACACCAAGUAUAAGAUUGGCUUUGAUAAGCUUGUCUAGAUUACGGAUACCAACAUGUCCUAGCCUUAUAUGCCAUAGACAACCUUUAGAUGAUUUUGCAAUAAGAAAAGUACAAUGUUUGGCUCUUUUAGUGAAAUUGACAAUAUAUAGAUCACCUCUAUGAAAGCCAGUGAAUACCAUGUUAUCUUUAUCUUGUCGAAACACUUGGCAAUCAACUUUUGUAAAUAGCACACUGAAACCAAAUUGAGCUAGUCUAGAUACGGAAAGAAGAUUGUAGCCAAGGGAUUCAACAAGCAUGACAUUUUGAAUAGAACUAUCAUGAGAUAUGACCACCUUAGCAAGACCUAGUACCUUACCCUUGGAGGUGUCUCCAAAAGUCACAUACCUUCGUGGUCCAUGGUUUGGUGUGAUAUCUUGAAACAUGCCUCUAUCUCAAGUCAUGUGAUCGGUUCAUUGAUACGUCUUCAACGUAUCUAUAAUUUUUGAUUGUUCUGUGCUAUUAUGUUAUCGUUCUUGGAUGUUUUAUAAUCAUUUUAUAGCAAUUUUAUAUCAUUUCUUGUGACUAACCUAUUUACAUAGUGCCUAGUGCCAGUUGUUGUUUUUUCCUUCACAGAAAAUCCAUAUAAGACGAGGCCAAUUACCACGAAACUUUACGAAGAUUUUUUUGUACAAGAAGGAAACUUGGAGGCCAAGAAUGAGCAGCAACCAAGGCCCAACAAGCCCACUAGAGACCACAGCCCGCCAUAGGCCGCCGGCGCGGCCUGGUGUCCAAUGGGGCCCUCCCGAACCUUCUGCACCACCUCUCAGCUCAAUAAAAAACCCAAUAUUCCAGAAACCCUAGAGGAGUUGACUAAAUAUCGUUUCAGCCGGUGCAAGUUCGAGAGCUACGAAAACCAACGUAGAGCCUUUUCCAGAAAAGAACACGAUCAUGGAGGGGUUCACCAUAUCCAUUGGUGUUCCUCCCAUGAUGCGUGAGUAGUUCAUAUUGGACCUACGGAUCCGUAGGGAGUAGCUAGAUGGCUUUCUCCCUCGUUAUGUUUCUCAAUACAAUGGUCUCUUGGAGAUCCAAAUGAUGUAACUCUUUGUUUUUGAAAGUGCAUUAUAUCGACUAGAGGGGGGUGAAUAGGCGAUUAUUAGAAUUUCAUCGCUGAGGAAAUUCCUUGUGAGGAAAGUCCUCAAUGACGCAUUAAGUGAAGUGGAAAUAGCGCAGGAUCAGGUGUGGAAAAACUUCAGUAGCAUAUGACUUGUUGAGGAUAAUGAGAAUCGAUUUGCACAAUUCGCAAGUACAGAGUAAGCAGGUGAAGAUUAUCUUAAGUGAAGAAUUUGGGGUUGAGGAAAUUCAGACGAAGUCUUCAAACAAAUUCUUCAACAAUGCAUAUCAAAGUCUUCAACAUAGAAUUCGAGGAAAUGAAAGAGUUGAAGAAAUAGAACCCGUAUCACGAUGAAGACAGUUGUUGAUGACCCAAUUCCAACUGCUCUGACAGUUGUACGUCUGGUUUGGAGCGGCUUGGUAUUGAAACCAAAGGACACACAGUCCCUACCGUAUUCUCGUUGAGAUAAGGACACAUAGUCCUCACCCAACACUCGUGGUAAGUCUUCAGGGUAGACUUCCAAACCCUCACAAACUCGGUCACUCGGCGAUCCAAAAUUGAUUGGAGGAUGCUGUAGACCAUGACGCCUAACCAUCUGGAGGAUGCACAAUCCACAAAGGUAAACGACUUCAGUUCCACACACGAACAAACUCUUCAGUGAUGCUCAGUCAUUUGGUUUUUGGUUUGGGGUUGGUUGUUUGGGGUAUUUCCUCACUCGAUGGUUUUCUCUCGAAGACUCUGAGGAAUUUGGGUUGCUCUAAAUGACAAGUGUUAGUUUUUCUCGGAGCAGCCAAGCAGAUAGUGGUUAUGAGGGCCGCUAUUUAUAGCCUAGGAGCAUCGCGACAUGAUUUUACAUAAAUGCCCAUAAAUAAUGUGACCGUUGGGUGGAUAAGAUCAGUGAGGUGGCGCGUUGCGCGACAACGGUCGGAACUUUCAACUGUGAAAGUCCUCAUGUCUCUCAUAUUCCUCACUUUGAGGCUUUGGUAGAUUUAGGCUUGGGUUGAGCAUCAUGAGGAAAUUCAUUUCUUAGUAUUACUUCGACCCCCUUUAACAGUAUGGUGUUCCUAUGACUCAAGAGUAAAGAAAAUGAAACACAAAGAGUAAAUCUUCAUGCUUCAAAGUAUUCAGACAAUUUUUCUUCAGGACACACCGAAUUCCUCAUCUUUAAUAUCUUCCUGAGGAAUAUCAAUUUCAUCGUCAUUUCUUUGCGAUCAAAGUCUUCAAGGUAAGACUAAAGUCUUCAACCAAAGACAUACAUUUUUAGGGGUCGAUAUUCAUCGUAUAACUCAAACUCCUCAGCGACAUAAAGAGCUUGUGUACACUUACAAACACAUUAGUCUCUUAACCUAUAAGUCAUCAAACCACCAAAAUCACUAAGGGCACUAGAUGCACUUACAAUCUCACCCAUUUUGGUGGUUGAUGGCAAUUAGGUUAAGUUUUCAAUGCGGAUAAUAUUAUGAAAUGUAAGUACUAAGUUUGAGGAAUUUGAAAUCAAGAUACCAAGAGACUCCCCCUGAAGAUGUGCAUAUUUUGAGGAAUUUGUUUUGCACAGCACAUGCACAUUGAUGAUUUAUAUCAUGGAGAUCUCCCCCAGUAUCUUGUAAAUCAUGCAUACAUUUGACAUAUAAUAUGAGGAAUUGAAAAUCCAUGAUAAAAAAUUGUAACACCCUCUGCUUAGCUUUCCUGACUAAUUAACUUAUUUCAAAAAUUAGGACCAAUUAAAUUUUUUGUGAAUGCUUGUUUGUUUAGUUGCUUGCUUGUAUGCGUGUGGUUGAUUCUCAAUAAUUCCUGUUACUCUCUAGACUCACCUCGUUAGCCCAAAACUCCUACCUAAUGAUCAUGCCAUGUGUUUAGGACGAAAAACUAUUUUUACCAAAUAUUAUUUUCACCAAAAAGCUUUUCUUUGAAUUAAGCUUUCAAAACCCCUAAGAUGGGAUUUGUACUACAAGUCCACAAAUUAGGGAAUUUAUUUUGCACCAAUUAUUUUAUUUAAAACCUAUUAUCAAAAUUACUUCCCAAAACCACAAUAUUAAUAUUUAAAAAUAAUUUUUCUAUUUUAUUUAAAUGCCUUUCUGUGAGGCCAGAAAUGGUCUCUUAUGAAGGAAAGUUAUUCUUAUUGCUUUCAAAAUAUUUGAGAAAAUUUAGGGAAACCCACUGGACAUAUAUAUUUCAUAUAUAUAUGAGUUUAAUCACAUGGUCAUGUUCAAAAUAUUUGACAAACCCCUUCAAAACCAUUCCUGCCUAUUUAAAACUUUUGGAAUAUUUCUAUAAGAAAUAUUCUCCAUUAGUUCUUGUAAAAUUCUAGCAUGUCACAUAUGAUAUAUGUGAUGAUCUUGCCAAGUUUCACCUUAAUCCAAGUUGAUUUGAUUCCCCUAAUUAUUCCAAAACCCUAUGCGUUCAGAUCCAAAAUUUAGCAACUCUACAUUGCCAAGUAUCUCCAAUUGUGCUCAAAUUUGGUGGACAAGUUUUGAUACUCCAAUAAUGCAUCCACACCAAGUGGUGCAUCAAGGAGAAUAGAAGAACUUGUCCCAAGACCCUCAAAACCCUCUCUAUUGAUUUCUGACUUUGGGAAACUUUACAUUAUAAAGUUUCUCCAAUUGACCCCCUUAACUUUUUGGGCAUGCUUUAAUGCUCAAAUAAUGCCCCCACACCAAAUAUUGGAUUUGAGGGAAUUGAUUUGAAUAGCUUCGUAAGCAGAAGGCCACUUCUGCCCAUUUCAUGGGUUUUCCAAGUCUACAUUGGAAAUCUUCUCCACCAAAUCCCAAAUUUGGUGUCCAAGCUUAUUUUCAUAUUUUUUAUGCUGUUAAGUUUCAUAUCCAUUGAUGUCCAUCUGAUUGCCGUGACACUCAUCAAACACCUUGUGUGCACUCAAUUUAUUGGCUAGUUUGACCCCUUCCACUUUAACCCUUGAGCUCAACUUUCUACCAUAGCCUCUCCUAGUUACCUUUUUACUCCAGUAGCUUUGCCAUGGCAACUAAACAAUUAUUGGAGACAUGCCCCUUGUACUACUUCUCAUUUUACGCUUGGAAUCAUCAUUUUUACUCCCCUUGCCCCACUUCUGUUUAAGCCAAAGCCUCCAUCUCUUUCCAGAGGGCCCCUAGCAUCCUAAGGCAUCAUUUCAAACCAAGAUAUGGUAUACUCAUGUGGAGAAAAUGAGCAGCACAUCUGCAAGUUGAAUUGUGGCUGAAAUGUAGCUUUGUACACCAAUUACUAGCUACCCUCAUUUGAUUGAUCUCAAACUUGGCAUUGUGGUAGUCCUUCCAUGAAUAAGACUGGUAGACAAGGUUUCACCUCAAUUUCCCUUCUGGGAAAACCACUUUUGCCAGCCCCUAGUUUCUUAUUGCAAACUUAACCACAGUCAAAACCACACCUAACCAACCUUAGAUGCUUCCAAACUCCAGAGUCUCCUUCCUGCAUGUGUGCCCUACGUGUUGGACAUGUUUGACUGGUCAGGAGUGCCGUGUAGACAUGAGUGGUCGCGGUGACCACACUCACAUCAUGCAAUAUUGGUGCUCUACCCCUUGUCCUCUUGCUGCAGCUUGUUUCCGGCCGUUGCAACGUGUCUCACAGCACCGGGGGAUUCCAUUUGAUUGGUGCAAGUCCUUCCCGAUGCCUAGAAGCGACCAAAUCUCCCCAGGGACGCGUGUCUUCCCCGUGUUCUCAGAGCUCCGAGAGCUCCCGAGAUUCCAUCGUCUACCCCCUCCAUUUUUACCUCUCUCCCCGAACCCCGCUGCAUCACCUCUUCUUCCCUCACUUCCUAGCAACCUCCCGAGCCUCCCAACCAGCCGGAGGCUGCCCCGAGACCCUCCUCUUCUACCAUGGUCGCCAUGGCCGUUUCGGCCAUGCCCGGAUCCAAGCUGCCCUAGCCUCCCUCCUUCUCCCUAGGGCCUCCAGGAGAACCCCCAGACCCUGCAGCGCCUUCCCCAUUCUUCCUCUUCCCUUUGGGUGGAUGGAGCUCCUCUCCCGUGGCCGCCAUCUCCGCCCUCUGCCGUAGCCAGGGCGCAGCUUGCCCUGAGGCUCCUGGCGGGCACCAACACCAGGCUGGGUGCGUCGUAGCUCCCUGGACCGCCGAUGGCCUGAGCUCCGCCCGACGUUGUUGGAGCUGCCAGAACCAGGCGGAGCGCGAUCUCCUCCGUGCCUCCCUGCGUGCGAGCAUGAGGUAGGAGAAGGCCCUGGCAAAGGUUCCCCCCUCUAAACCUCCCCCAGCCGGACCCAUCCCCAUAAGUGGAGGCGGGUUCCUCCACGCGCGCCUCCUUGCGCUAGAAAGCGUAAAGGGUGCUGUGCGCCAUCGGCGUGGCCACUUCGCUGGUAGCUAGCGCAUCUAGGACGGCCCAGCUUCCUAUCGGUCGCCCUGAACGCUUAAUAGCAUUCCUGAUGGCCCUCCCUCCGUUGUUUUUCUCUUAUCAGUAAACUUCAAAAUUCCAUAUUAAAUUCAUUCUUGAUCCAAAUCUGAUGAUUCAAAUAUGUGCAUGACACAUUUUUCGAGAGCAACUUUCCGGGGUGUUUUUAAUUAAAUCCAAAUCUGGAUAUUUUAAGCAACACCUUGUGAAAUCCCUAUAAGGCUCAAAUGAUCUCCAAAUGGAGUGAUUCCAAUUUCCAGAGACUUAUUAUGUCAUCCCCUAUUUUUGAAGCCUUGGUAAACCUUUUUGUAUGACUUAUUUCCGUUUCAAUAAAUAAAUAGCUCCCUUUUGCUAUUUAUCCAGUAUUGGAAAAUCCCUAGAUUAUUCACCUCAUUUCCAAAUCCAGUGAGAUAACCUUCUAAAUGUUUCUAAAAUUGUACUCUAUUAAAUGAGUGCCUCCACUCACUUUUAUCUUGAUAUUUUCUGUGGGCUUCUUUAAAGAUCACCUAUUCCCCUCUCAUCCCUUCAAAAAUCCAUGCUGGUCCAACUCUCCUCUAGCAAGGUUCAGGUAUUUUUCUUAUGACCAGAGUGGUCGAAGAAAAAUAUAACUUCCAUUUUUAAAACACUUUUGUUCUACUUGCCAUGUGGCUGACUAUGAUUGUUUUCGAUGAUAGUUGACGAGUAGACGGAAUACUCAGAGUUGGACCGAAAGACCUCGAAGACCCCGAGGACUUAUGUGAGCAAAGGCAAGCAACCCUUUGACCAUGUUUGAGCAUAUAUUAUAUUGCAUGCUAAGUAGAACAAAUAUUUCCGUUGCAUGUGAUCGUAAGUACCGGUAAAUCAAUAAAGUCAUGUUACCUAUGGCUCCUCCAGAGCAAUUGCAUUUUGUGCAUGAUCCUACCACCUAUGAGGGUCACGCUCAUAUCAUGUUGACAAGUAGAGCUAAGAAUAGUAGUAGCAUGAGCAUGAUGAUGGUAUAGAUCAAAGGUUUAUGAAAACCCCGUGGGGUGCCACUAAUGCCCGAGGGUGAUGAUGAGAUAGGUGGCCACUUUUGGUGAAGUGGUGCACCGGGUAUUUUGUGUGUGUAUGGUUUCGGAAAUGGGAAUAUAUUUAUGAUGUGUUGACCGUCCCAACCUUACAUGUGCGACCACGAUACCCCUUUAUGGGACGGGGCUUUGUUGAUUACUCUGGUCGGUGCUAGCAAAGAGCCACAUUACCAGUGGCAGGAGUGAUGUGUGGUCACGCUCGAGACGGGGUCGUGUCAGGUAGGACGACUAUGCCGUCUUUACGUGUUCAGGGCACACCGUUGGUCCCUGCAUGGAUGAUACUGUCCAUAGUCGGUGCUCGUAAGACAUACAUCAUGUGGGCUGGGUACCAAUCGAGUGGACGUCUUUGUCUAGUAUCGUGAGCGGAAAGGCAUUGAUCGGGUACUUACCUCGGGUAUAUUAUAUACCACGAGUCGUGGAUGACACGCAAGUUUCCCGGAUCUCGUGGGUAUAGCGUACAACCUCUACAGAGUGUAAAACUAUUCGAAUAGUCGUGUCCACGAUCAAGGACAGUUGGGUAAUCCUGCUUAAACUAUGUCCAGUCAUUUCCGUAUAAACCAAGUGUGUGUGAGUGUGUGUUAAAUGGUGUUAUUAUGAAAGAGUUGAUAUGACCAAGUUUGGUGACUUGGCAUAUCGGGUGAACCCGGAGUGUUCAGCCCUUGAUAGAUAUGUUGCUAUAUGUAACCCGUUCUUCUAAAUACCAUUUAGCUUAUGUUCCACAUCCAUGAACAUGUUUAUUUACAGUCAAGCUGUUAUCCACCAAAACGUCACAUUACUUGCUAUUCUACCAAUUGCAUCGUUCACAUCAUGGGUUGUUUGCGAGUACAUUCAAAGUACUCAUUGGCUUGCCACAAGUUAUUUCAUUGACCAGGUAUGAGAGAACAUGAUUUGGUGAAGAGUAACUCGGUGACGUUCUUGCGAGCUAGGACACUUCCCAGUCAAAAUGCCUGUAGGUUAAGGCUAAUGAAAUGGGUUCACGCAUUCGACCAAUAGUUCCGCCAUUGGUCUAGUUUGGUGUGUUAGCCAUCAAGGCCCUAUAUAUGUAAGACUUGACCGAAAUGGUCAUUUAUUGUAUCAAACGGUAUGUAUGGAUGUAAGACUCUUAAUAUUUAGUAUCUGUGUGUUCAGUGAGCAUUGAUCUCUGGGAUCACUGAGCACGUUCAUUUGGCGGUCUCGACUCGUAAGUCGGGGUCCCCACAAAAAUGGUGUCUGCCGAAUUUCAUCAUGCCUGCAUUAAUAGACUUUGAGGAAUAAGCAUGCAAAGAAAAACGUUCAAAAGAGUCAGAGCACCAUCGAGCUUAAGUUACAACUCAUUACAUCAAACACUUCAGAAGAGCCAAUAGUUUGUAACUUAAUAAAGUUUAUAAGCCCCAAAAUAGAUCCCGCUUGAAGACUAACUCUUAGAUUUCUCCCCCUUUGUCAUCAAGUGAUGAAAAGGGACAAAGCUGAGGACUAACACCCUUGAAAAAAAUCACUUCUUGGUUGAUGUAGAGGCGUGAGGAUUCUUGGAGACAUGCUUCUUCCUUGGACCAGUUGUAGUGUCUUCAGGUUCUUCAUCUAAUUCAGCAGUGCAAAAUGAAGAAAAUGAAUUGUCCUCCAAGUCAGGAACUGGAAUUGGCUUGAAUUUCUUCUUUGGAGGGCACGACCAGUCAAAGUCUUGAGUAAAUUCCAAUUCCUCAAGUUCCUCUUGAGUCUUCAAAUGAGCCAACGUUGCCCAAGUGUGAUCAAACACCUCAUGAAGAUAAUAGUGAUUUUUCUUCACUGCAUUCUGAGUCUCGUUGAGGGUUUUCACAAUGGCACCAAACUGUCGGUUCACCCACUUGUGAUUGCGAUCGACUUUUUGAUGAAGACCGAGGAGUAGCUCUAUGUUAGUCAUCACUCUGGGGGUAGUUGGGUUUGGAGGCUCUUGAGUUGUAGUGUCAUCAUAUGAGGAGUAUGAAUCGGCCUUGCGAAAUUGGCCAUCAAGGGGCCGAUUUCCUUCAUCUAUCAUAGACUUGCCUUUGCUUCAACAGGUUCAAACGAUUUCUUAAUGACUUUUAUUGGUGGCAGAUAUCCGAGGUGAUUCUGAAAAUCAGCUUGAUAGUUGAUGCCUGACCUGUUUAUAAUGAAUCUCAUGAUCCAAGGCGCAUAAAUCUUCAAUUCAAAUGGUGACAAAGCAUUGUCAGCCAAAGUCCUCAAGAAGAAAUCAUAAAGAUUCAUAGGUAUGCCAUGAAUGGCAUUGAACAUGAUAUUCUUGACGAUGCCUACGACAUCUUCUUCAUCAUCAUGCCCUUUGAUAGGAGCAAUGACAUAAGACAUGAUUCUGUGCACUGUUCUGGGUUCAUACUUCAAGGCCUGUACCAGAAAUCGAGUCCUUGGGGGCUGGUCCUUGGCCAAAGGCUUCAUGAGGACUUCCAUCAGCUUGUUGGACAGUUCUCGUUCAUAAACAUUAGAACUGCAUCCUCUAAGGUAAUGGAAAUUGGGAGAGCUCAAAGCAAUUCAGUGGCAGGAGCUUUGUAGUGCGUGUGCUGAGUCAUCCAAUCCAAUACCCAAGUGUCGACAUACUUUGGGUCGCCUGAGAUGUGCAGUGUGGUAUAAAAUUGAAGAAUGAUGUUAGUGUUCCAAUCUCCGAUGUCAGCAUAGAAAGGCAGUAACCCAACUUCGUGAAGAACACUGAGGACUGGAGCAAAGCAAGGUAUUUCCUCCAUAUCAUAGUGAGGAAUAUGGGUAUGUUUAAAUAUCUUGUCUCUCCCAUAGAGCACAGAAGCAUAUUAGUUGAGCUGAUUUCUUGUCCAGAACUUCCUGUGUCUGAUGCGAAGGUUAUCAUAUGGAUUUUCACCAGUGAAGUACAUGCGUUCUUCAUAGAAUGCCUCUUUCUAAAACUUUGGCCGUUUGGAGAAAGGCUGAUUUUGCUGAGGUUGAAGAUUGUGCCGUUGUUAUUGAGGAGUAGCCACCACCAUUCCCGUUUCUGUGUUCACCACAACAAUAGCGGUUUCAGUGUUGGGUGCAGGAGCAUUUUCUUCAGUUUGAGCAUUUUCCUCAGUUUGAGGAUUCUCUUCAGCUUGAGGAAUUUGCUUGUUGGAGGAGGCGGUUGCAAUAUUUGAUGCUGCAUUGUCUUCAGCUGAUGUAGCGAAUUCUUGAGCAGACUCCUCACGAAUGCUUCUUCUAUCAGAACCAGUGAGAAUCUCAGUUGCAGCAGGAGUUGGAGGGAUUUGAUUUGACCUUGGCGAGCGUGGAUGAGUUUCUUCCCAGAAAUCAUCCUGGAUUACAGGUGUGCUGCAUCCAAUGUCAUCAUCAUCAAGUUGUUCCUCAGUGGUCUUUGGAGGAGUGGUGGACUGAGGAAUAUCAUCUAUUUGUAUUUCCUCAUCCAUUACUUCAUCCUCUUCAGCAUCAUUCAUUUCUUCACCUUCUUAAGGAAUGACAUAGUCAACUCUGAAGGGAACGAUCAUGCAUGAUGGAGCUACAUUCAGAGGAGUAGCAUCCACCGGGGCUGAUGAAGAUUCUGACUAAGUGAUCUUCAGACGUUUGGCCUUUCAGGAUUCUGAGGCCAUUGAAGCUUUUCUCUUUUUGGCUUCUUUCUCAACCGCUUUCGUUUUCUUCACGUCUGAUGAACACGAAGUCACUUUCUUCACCUUUGAGGGUUGCGGUGAAGGGACAAUUUCAUCAGGCACUGGUUUAGUGUGAGGCCUGCCAGUUUCUUCAGCUGGAGCAGUUUCUUCAGCUCGAAUAUUUUGAGGAAUUUCCUCAACAGCAGGUUCAUCAAUUUUAUCUUCCUCACGUAGCUGAACAAUAUAGCUUCGCUAAGGUGGUGUUUGCUGCUUUGGAGGGGCAGUUCUCUUGUUGUAUUCAUCAACAACAGCUGUUGCAACCUUGAUGAAUUUCACUUUUACGCCUUGACGAUCAGAGUGAAGACUUGUAUACUUGUCUGUGAGGGUUUUGAGUUCAGCCUGAGUUGAUACAAGUGCUUUAGGCAUCAGGUUGAGGAGAUUCUUUUUGAGGAAUUUCUCCUUUUUGAUUUUGGCAGCCCUUGCUUGCUUGGCUUACUGCUCUUUCCACUUUUCUUCACUGAUAAAAGUAGCAACCAUAUGGCCGACACGAGGGGAAGCUUUAAGUCAUCAACUGGUGUGUUUGGAUCUUCAUACCAGAGGUCGAUGAAAUCCAGCAAUACCUUCAGAUCCAUAGCUAGAGGAAUGGAACUGCUGGAGGCUUGUGCAACAUGUUCCUGUUUGUUUCUGAUGAUUGCUUGGAGUGUUUCAUCAUCAAAUUCUUCACUUGCUUCUGAUGAAGAAGGAACGUUGAUGACUUUACUAGGACUUGGCCUGAUGCCUCUGCCAGCAGUCAUUUUAGUCUUCAACAGAGUGGGUGAAGACUUUGUAGCACAGCCAGUGGCAGAUGGCACCGAGGAACUUGAUUGUGCAGGUUGAAACUUACUCAGUUGCUUCUGUUGUGGGGGUGAAGACUGUCGUGUUGUUGAAGAUUUUGUAGCCAUUGCAGCCUUCUGAGGCAAUUGCUCUUUUGGCGCUGUAGUAGAAGCUUUGGGUUUCUUCAGCAAAGUCUUCUUUUGAUGAAUUUCUGUAGUAGAGGCCUCAACAGCUGAAGAAGUGGCAGCAGUGGCUGCAGCAGUAGAAUCCUCAUUGAAUUUCUUCACAGCCGCUUCUGCCUUCUUCUGUAACUUAGACAAAUAUUUGUCUUUCUCAUCUGGAUAAUCCUCAAUAUUUCUACACUUGAGGGAUGAGCGACUUGUUGAUCACCCUAUGGAGGCCUUUUGCAAGGUGGCUUGAGGGUGAAUUUCUUCGCAUAUUUUGGAGUCACAUAUCUGUACUCCUUCCACUCCUUAGCCCACCCGCGCUCAAUCUUUUGAAGCCUUAUCUUGCGCUUCGCCAUGGUCUCUUUACCAUGUAUUUCCUCAUCAAGAGUACAAUAAUCAGCAUAUAUGUCUUCAGGUAUUUCAAAUGUUGUAUUUUGUACCAGCUUCUUUCCUCCUUUCUUCUUCUGAUCAUCCUCCAUUUUCUUUAACUGAGGCUUUUGCUGAGGAAUCUGAACUCUUCAUGAUUCUGAAGACACAGGUAAAUUUUCUUCGAGGAAUGCUGCAAAUGAGUUAAGUUGAUGAGAAAUUAGAGAUUCAUCACCUGACAUUUUUGGACCUGUGAAUACAGUAUAGGUGCGAAGAAUUUGGGAAGGUCAUAUGUGUUCUCAGAUUUGAAGAAAUUGAUUUUUUUAAAGUUGAGGAAUUGGACUAAGCAUUCUGAUCUUGUGUUCCAGAGUUGUGCAGAUUUGAGAAUUUACACAAUUGACGAAUCAACUGUUUGAGGAAUGAGUGUACAUGGCCGACAGACUUUCUCAGGAAAAACAGAUUUCGCGAGUCUAAAGUGAAUUAAAAGAUCAACAUAGGCAGUAAAAUAGGAUUUUAUUUACCCGGUGCAAAGAACACGAAGAACUGGAGCAGUAAAAGAGAGAAGUUCCUCCGUUCAGAUCUUCAGCGCCCUAACUUGGCAACUCAAAUCAGCUACGGUGGCGGCGGAAGACGAUUUUCCGUGGUCGGCGUGAGUCCGACAACGGCGAGGGCGAGGCAACAAAGCUUUUCCUCACCGGCGACGAGGAUGGUAGCGGUGGCGCUAGGAUUGAGCUAAAGCGGAGAAGACGAGAGGACGAAGAGCCUUGAGUGAGGGGGUUAAGGGCCUAUUUAUAGCUUAGGUAAAAAACUAUUCGGCCGAAACUUUCGGACUGAACUUCCUUUGCCCCUUAGUCUCCACAUGACAUGUGGUACCCACGACUUAAGCGGUGGAGUUCAUGGUUAUCCGAUCAUGAGAAGUAGGUCCGGUAACUGUGUAUCGAUAUAAAAACAAUUUUUGAAUUUUUGAGGAUUUUAUUGCAAAGUCCUCAGCUGACAAGGACUCCGUGAUGAUAUUCAACAUGUGUCAAAAAGAACGCAUAUGAACAAUUGAGAAUAGACUGGGUUGAGCUUAGCAUAGAGGGGAGUCGGGUCCGAUCACAUUCACUUAGAUGAAAUAUCAAAUUGAAGACUGGGCUAUAAGUGAAUGCUGUUGAGGACUUUGAACGCUCAUUAUAUAUAUAUAUAUAUAUNNNNNNNNNNNNNNNNNNNNNNNNNNNNNNNNNNNNNNNNNNNNNNNNNNNNNNNNNNNNNNNNNNNNNNNNNNNNNNNNNNNNNNNNNNNNNNNNNNNNNNNNNNNNNNNNNNNNNNNNNNNNNNNNNNNNNNNNNNNNNNNNNNNNNNNNNNNNNNNNNNNNNNNNNNNNNNNNNNNNNNNNNNNNNNNNNNNNNNNNNNNNNNNNNNNNNNNNNNNNNNNNNNNNNNNNNNNNNNNNNNNNNNNNNNNNNNNNNAUAUAUAUAUAUAUAUAAUUUGAAUAUUUUGAAGAAUGAAAAUCAUCAAACAUUUUGAAGAAUUUGAAGAUUUUGAAAAUUUGAGAAUUUUGUGACAAAGUGUCAGAUUGAUGAAUUUCAACUUUGAAGAAAAAGCAGCUUGAAGAAUUUCAAAGUUGGGUGGUGGCAUGACCCACCGUAUAAGACUGAUGAUUUCAGGAGCCGCGUACAAUUGUCGUAGGGCCCUGAGAACCAAAUUCUUCAUUAAUUUCUUCACACUAAGAGUGAUGUUCUUCAUUGAUUGAAGAAAGUCGAUUCUUCGUGUGGUGCACAUCUAAAUCAUCAAUUUUGCAUAAGUGUUAGGAUCACAAAACAUUUGAAGACUCUAGGAUAUUUAGCUCACACCGCAACUUGCGAAACCUUCUCUCAUCCAAGGGCUUAGUGAAAAUAUCUGCUAGUUGAUCGUCAGUCUUCACAUGGUCGAUGAUGAUAUUGCCCUUGACGACAUGGUUCCGAAGAAAAUGAUGACGACUCGGGAUGUGAUUAGUCUUCGAGUGUUGUACUGGGUUGUAGGCAAUCUUGAUUGCACUCUCAUUGUUGAAGUAGAGGGGCACAUUCUUCAUGUUGAUGUUGUAGUCUCUGAGGGUUUGCUUCAUCCACAACAAUUGAGCACAGCAGGAUCCAGCGACAAUGUACUCAGCUUCGGCGGUGGAGAGAGAAACACAAUUCUGCUUCUUUGAGGACCAGCCAACUAAUGAUCUUCCGAGGAAAUGGCAUGUGCGUGAUGUUGACUUGCGAUCCACAUGGUCACUAGCAUAGUCAGAAUCAGAAUAUCCAACGAGGUGAAGAUUUGAACCCUUGGGGUACCACAAUCCUAGUGUUGGUGUGUGAGCUAAGUAUCAAAGAAUAUGUUUCAUAACGUUAUGGUGUGAUUUCCUCGGUUUUGCUUGAAAACGAGCACACAUGCAAACACUAAGGAUUAUAUCUGGCCUAGAUGCACAUAGAUACAAUAAAGAGCUAAUCAUCGAGCAAUAUACCCGUUGAUCGAAAUCAUUACCAUUUCGUCAGUGCAGCGGUGGCUCUUGGUAGGCAUAGGAAUCUUGACGCCUUUGCAUUCAUGCAUGUUGAAUUUCCUCAGAACAUCCUUGAGGUAUUUCGCGUGUGAUAUGAAGAUGCCAUUGCGUUGUUAACGAAUUUGAAGGCCUAAGAAGAAUUUCAUCUAUCCCAUCAUAGACAUGUGAUAUUUUUCACUCAUCAUUUAAGCAAAUUCAUCACUGUAACGUUUGUUAGUACAACCAAAGAUAAUGUCAUCGACAUAUAUUUGGCACACAAAUAGUUCAUUGUCAUCAGAUUUUGUGAAAAGAGUUGGAUCGAGUGAACCAGGUUUGAAGCCUUUCUUCAUGAGAAAUUCCUUCAAAGUGUCAUACCACGCCCGAGGGGCUUGCUUGAGGACAUAGAGUGCCUUUUUGAAUCUGAAGACUUUGUUAGAAUGCUUUGGAUCUUCAAAACCUGGGGGCUGCGCAACAUAUACUUCUUCCUCAAGCUUAACAUUGAGGGAUGCACUUUUCACAUCCAUUUGAUAUAGAGUAAUAUUAUGAUGAUUAGCAUAAGAAAGUAUAGCUUCAAGUCUAGCAACAGGUGCAAAAGUUUCAGCGAAAUCAAUUCCUUCAACAUGUGUGUAACCUUGGGCUACAAGCCGUGCCUUAUUCCUCACCACUUUACCAUCUUCAUCUUGCUUGUUUCAGAAAAUCCACGUGGUGCCGAAGAUAUUGUGCUUGCAAGGAUCUGGUCGUUUGACGAGUUCCCACAUGUCAUUUAGCUUGAAUUGAAGAAGUUCAUCUUGCAUGGCCUGAAUCCACUCAGGUUCCAUGAAGGCUUCAACAACUUUUGAGGGUUCUAUGAUAGACACAAAAGAGGAAUGCCCACAAAAGUUAACUAAAUCUGAAGCUUUUGAGAGAGUGAGAGGAUGUGGCGCAUUGUGUUGGGGAACGUUGCAUGGGAAACAAAAAUUUUCCUACUCACACGAAGACCUAUCAUGGUGAUGACCAUCUACGAGAGGGAGAUCGGAUCUACAUACCCGUGUAUACUACUAAGCGGGAAUUGUUAAGAAACAAGGUUGAUGUAGUGGAACGUCUUCGCGAUCCAAAUCACCGUCGUCCCAUGAUCCGACGCGAUAUAGUACCUAACGAACGACACCUCCUCGUUGAGCACACGUACAGCUGGAUGACGAAAUCCGCCUUCUUGAUCCAGCAAAAGAGAUGGGGAAGUAGAUGAGUUCUCCAGCAGUGUGACUGCGUGCCAGUGGUGGUGGUGAUCUAUUCCUGCAGGGCUUCGCCUAAGCACCGCAGAAACCCAAUCUGGAGGAAGAACUACAAACUAGAGGAGAGGGUUGCAUGUGGCUGAAAUUGCGUCUCAAAAUCAUUCAAACCUCUUGUAUAUAUAGGAGGAGGCAAGAGGCAGCCUUGUCCGACCAAGGGAAACCCCUUGGGGUCGACCGAACCAAAGGAGGGAGGAGUCCUCCUCCAAUCCUACUUGGAUUAGGACUCCUUCGCAAAUUGUCCACCUCUUUUGGAUUUUCCACCUUUUUCCACAUGGGAUUUCUUUGGUUGACAAGACAGCCCACUAAGAGCUAUUGCGCCACCAUCAAGUCCAUGUGGAGCUCUUGGGGAGUGGUGGCCCACCUGGUGGGCCCCCGGUACCCAUUCGUCAGUCCCGGUAUACUGCCGUCAAUGCCUGAAAUUCUUCUGGAAUCCAAAUAUGAACUGCCUAUAUAUCAAUCUUCGUUUCUGGACCAUUCUGUAACUCCUUGUGACGUCCGGGAUCUCAUCAGGGACUCCGAACAAAACUUCGGUCACCAGCACCUAUAACUCAACUAUACCGAAACAUCACCGAACCUUAAGUGUGCAGACCCUACGGGUUCAAGAACUAUGUAGACAUGACCUGAGACACUCUCCGGUCAAUAUCCAAUAGCGGGACCUGGAUGUCCAUAUUGGAUCCUACAUAUCCUACGAAGAUCCUAUCGGUUGAACCUCCAUGCCGAGGAUUCAUAUAAUCCCGUAUACCAUUCCCUUUGUCCUUCGGUAUGUUACUUGCCCGAGAUUUGAUCGUCGACAUCUCUAUACCUAUUUUAAUCUCGUUACCGGCAACUAUCUUUACUCAUUCCGUGAUAAAAGAUCCCAUGACUAACUCUUUAGUUACAUUGCUUCCAACACUUAUAUUUGAUGUUUUAUUACCGCGUGGGCCACAAGAUACCUCUCCGUCACACGGAGUGUCAAAUCCCAGUCUUGAUACAUGCUAACUCAACGGACACCUUCGGAGAUGCUUGUAGAGUACCUUUAUAGUCACCCAGUAACAUUGCGACGUUUGAUACACGCAAGGCAUACCUACGGUGUCAGUGAGUUACAUGAUCUCAUGGUCAUAGGAAUGAAUACUUGACAUGCAGAAAACAAUAGAAACAAAAUAACACGAUCAUAUGCUACAUUCAUAGUUUGGGCCUUGUCCAUCACAUCAUUCUCCUAAUGAUGUGAUCCCGUCAUCAAGUGACAACACUUGUCUAUGGCUAGGAAACCUUAACCAUCCUUGAUCAACAGGCUAGUCAACUAGAGACUCACUAGGGACACAGUUUUGUCUAUAUAUCCACACAUUAUGCUUCCAUUCAAUACAGUUAUAGCAUGGAUAAUAAACGAUUUUCUUCAAACAUGAAAUAUAAUAAUAACUACUUUAUUAUUGCCUCUAGGGCAUAUUUCCAACACAUUGAUGUCAUCCAGGAUUUUGUCAAGUUCCACUUCAUUUGCAAUUCAUGGAUGGGCUGGUUGAAGAUUUUGUCUUGGCUGAGGAAUUUGAUCUGGAGCAAUUUCCUCAAGUGCACCUCCUUGAAUUUCAUCAGUGCCGGGGACGAUUUCUUCAGCAAUUUCCUCAGUAGGAAGAUAUCUUCAGUAUCUUUGAAGUUGAUAGCUUCCUCGGGAGAUAAUUUGUCUGGCAUAGGAGGCAAUUGCUCUCCUUGUGAGCCAUUAGUUUCAUCGAACCGCACAUCUACAGUUUCAACAACCUUGUUGUGAUAGGUGUUGAAGACUCUGUAGGUGUGCGAGUCCUUUCCAUAACCAGACAUAAAACCCUCAUGUGCUUUAGGUGCAAAUUUUGAGCUAUGGUGAGGAUCUUUAAUACAACAUUUUGCACUGAAGACUUUGAAAUAACUUACAUUGGGUUUCUUGUCAGUGAGGAAUUCAUAUGAUGUUUUCUUGAGGAAUUUGUGAAGAUAUGCCCUGUUGAUGAUGUGGCAAGCAGUGUUGAUUCCUUCAGGCCAGAAACGAUGAGGAGUCUAAUAUUCUUCAAGCAUGGUCCAUGCCAUUUCAACCAAAGUCAUGUUCUUGAGUUCAACGAUGCCAUUUUGUUGAGGAGUAUAAGGAGCAGAUAAUUCUUGAGUAAUACCAAGUUCAUCAACGUAAUUAUCAUGACCAGUGUUUUUGAAUUUUGUCCCAUUCUCACUUCUGAUGUGUUUGAUCUUGACGCCGAAGUUCGUUGAGGCCCUUGUGGAAAAUUGUUUGAAGACUUCCUGCACUUCAGUUUUAUACAGAAUGAUAUGUACCCAAGUAUAUCAAGAAUAGUCAUCAACGAUGACAAAGCCAUAUAAAUAUGUUGCAUUGGUUGGAGUGGCAUAAUGCGUAGGUCCAAAUAGAUCCAUGUGAAGCAAUUCAGACGAACGAGUAGUAGUCACGAUAGUCUUCGAGGGGUGUUUGGAUCUGGUCAUUUUUCCAGACUCACAAGCAUUGCAGAGGUGGUCCUUGAGGAAUUUGACUCACUUGAUGCCAAUGACAUGCUUCUACUUCGCCAGCGUGUGCAAAUUCCUCAUGCCUGCAUGACCAAGUCUUCGAUGCCAUAGCCAGCCUUUUGAGGUUUUUGCUAGUAAGCAUGUGGCUGGUUGAUGACCUGUGAAAAAAUCAAUAAUGUACAAAUCUCCUCUCCUAAAGCCGUCGAAGACAUUAGAUUUGUCAGAUUCCAUGAUGACUACGCAUACAUAUUUUCCAAAGAUGACAACCAUAUCAAGAUCACAAAGCAUUGAGACUGGCAUGAGGUUAAACCCAAGGGAUUCAACAAGCAUGACUUUGUCCAUGUGCCUGUCCUUGGAGAUAGCCACUUUGCCAAGUCCCAGUACCUUGAUUUUACCUUUAUCAGCAUAAGUGAUUUGCUUCAGUGGUGAUGGAGUCAGUGGCAUGUUCAUCAACAAGCUUUUAUCACGAUUCAUGUGGUUUGUUCAACCACUGUCAAGAACUCACUCUGUAUUCUUGGGUUAGUCAUCCUAGAGAUGAAUUAGUACAACUUACCAUCUCAUAUGCUUUAGACUUGAAGAAUAUGGUUUCAAUUUCAUCAUAUAGGAAUUUCAUCAUAAACAGUAAAUUUGAGGACAUGUGAGAUGUUAUCAUUUCAUCAAUUUUAGUUUGCGUCCAAUCAAGCAUUUUCCUGAGGUCUCCAGCAAAUUCUUGAAAUGAUGACUUUCAUCUCGAGACUUGACCUGCAGAAGUGAUUAGUUCAAUUUCUUCACCACCCACAUCUGAAGGGGUGGCUAAGAGUUCAUCAUCGUGCGAGAAUCAUAUGAGAAAGGGGGCAUUGAAGCUAAUGCACUUCGUUUCAUAGUAGGGGUGUUAGAGUACUCGAAUGAAUAGGCAAAGAAGUUCUUUGAGGACUUAUGAAUAUAAUGAUUUGAGGAAUAAUGCUCAUAUUCAUAUCCCUUGUAAUUUCCCUGCAUAUCAGAAGCAUUAGCACAAGUACGAGUAUUGUGUUGACCAUUUGAGGAUUUUGAUCCUCUUGAAGACUUUGGUCCACCAGAGGAAUUUGAUCUGGGGUUCAGGUUCUUCAUAGGUGGUGUCAUGAGGACAUUCACCAUAAGGUUUUCCAAGCAACUUUUCGGACCCAGAUUUUUCUCAGGGGUGGUCCAUUCGUGUAGUUAGUUCCAACAUAUCUAGCAAAUACUUCACCAGAUCGAUUUUUGAACAAUUUAUAGUUGGAGUCAAAUGACUCAUCUGAGGAAUAGGAUAAUUUACAUGCAAAGCCUGUUAGAGAGGAUGGAUCGAUGGGAGGGCCUUUAGCAGCAACCCAUGAGGUUUUGGGAUACUGCUUAGGUUUCCAGUAUGAUCCAUUAGCAUUCAAUUUCCUUUCAAAGGCAAUUCCUUCUUUCCUCGGGUUCCUGUUCAAAAUCUUCUUUUUUGCACAUUGCAAAGGGUUUGAUGCCCUUUGAGACUUUUGUAUAUGCCUGUCACAUACAAUUCCUUCAGCCCUGCAUUUUCGUCAGUAGCAUUUGUGGUUUACUCAAGUGAAGAAUUUGAUACCACAGGAGAAGUUGAAGAAUUUAUAGCGAUAGAAGCAUUUGAUGAUUCUGGUGAAGAAUUAGCAUUUUCAUGUUUAAUGCAUAUGAGACAUGGUGGAGUAAAUUCAACUGAGCGGCACUGAUCUGUUGAGCAAGCAAUGAAUCAUUUUCCAUUUGAAGAUCAUCAUGAGACAUCUUCAACUUCUCAAGAUCAAGUUUCCUUUGAAAAAUUAAAAGGAAACUUUCUCAUGAUCAGCCAAGAGUGUGCCAUAACGAUCUUGAAGAGUAUCAAAUCUAGACUGAAGACUUUUCACAUCUUCAGUGAGGACUUGAGUACGAGUCAUUUCAUCAUUCAACAGAUCAUUGCUUUUGUGUAGCAGCUUUUGAAGCUUUUCAAUGGCACUUUGUUGUUUAGUUGCAAUGUUGGCAAGUUUACUAUAAUUGGGUUUUUUAUAAUCAUCAGGUUCACAGUCACUUCAGUUAGAGGAGGAAGUAUCAUUCAAUACCUUUGAACCUUUUGCCAUGAAGCAAUAGGUUGGAGCGAAGUCAUCAGCAUAUCCAUCAGUGUAGAUAGUGUUGUCAUUUUCUUCAAGGUUGAAGUUUGACUUGUUGACGAAUUUGGUAGCCAGUGCAAGACUUGCCACACCAGACUCUGAAUCUUCUUCAGAACCUUCAUCUUCAUCAAAUUCCUCAGAUUCUUUCUGUCAAUCUAUUUCCGUGCCAAUGGGUGCCCGAGCCUUUCUGAAACUAGUCUUCUUGUGCGAUGAGGACUUUGAGGAUGAGGAUUUUCAAGAUUUCUUCUUUUUUUUCGAGCCAUGAGAACUUUCAUCCUUGUAUUUAUUCUUCUGUCAUUGUUUCACCCAGUGAAGAUAGUCAGCUAUGUAGUGACCAGAUUUCUUACAUUUGUGACAGGUUCUUUUCUUGUAGUCCUGAGAUGAAGAUUCUGAUUUCCUCAUAUCUCUUCUUGAAGAUUUACAAAACUGACCAUGCUUUGAAACUUCUGGUAUUUCCUCACGAGCAUUGCAAGCUCCUGUCCAAGUUCUUCAGGAUCACCAAUGUUGCAAUCUGAGUCUUCUUCUUUAGAUGAGGAAAUUGCUUUAGCAUUCAACGCACAAGGUCUUGAGUAGCUUGGUCUAUACAGAUCUCUCUUUUCUUCCUGUUGGAAUUCAUGAGUAUUGAGUCUUUCAAGUAUAUCAGCAGGAUCAAGCAUUUUAUAGGCUCCUCUUUCUUGAAUCAUCAGAACCAGUGUAUCAAAAGAUGGAUCAAGAGAUCUUAGUAGUUUCUUCACAACUUCAUGGUCGGUGAUGCCUCGAGCUCCCGCUGCUUGUAGUUCAUUUGAGAUGUCAGUGAGGCGAUCAAAGGUAUCUUGGCAGCUUCCAUUGUCAAGCAUCGUGAAGCAAUUGAAGAGAUUGGGAAGAACAUCAACUCGAGAGUCAUGCUGAGUUGAGAUUCCUUCAUUGAGUUUGGACAACUUAUUCCAGAUAAGCUUAGUUGUGCCCAAAGCACUCACUCCGCCAUAUUGACCUUUGCUCAGAUGGCCACAAAUGAUAUUCUUCGCUUGUGAGUCAAGUUGCUUGAAUUUCUUCACAUCAGCGGCAGAGAUAGUAGAAGUGAUGGACGGAAUACCAUGUUCCACGGUAUACCAGAGAUCUUUGUCAAUAGCCUGAAGAUCUGUACUUUCCUUUGAAGGUAGGACAUCGUGAAGUAACUUUGUUCAUACCUGUCGUCGACAUAACUAAAACACGAGGUGGUUAAACCAAAAUCACACGGAACAAGGGAGUACCUUGCUCUGAUACCAAUUCAAAGUGCGUUAUAUCGACUAGAGGGGGGGGGGUGAAUAGGCAAUUAUUAGAAUUUCAUUGCUGAGGAUAUUCCUUGUGAGGAAAGUCCUCAAUGAUGAAUUGUGGGGACCCUGACUUACGGGUCGAGAUCGCCGAGUGAACGUGCUCAGUGAUCCCAGAGAUCAGUGCUCACCGAACAGAUAGAAACUGAAUAACAAGAGUCUUACAUCCAUACGUACCGUUUCCUCAUAUAGUAAAUGAUGGUUGCAGUCAAGUCUUACAUAUAUAGGCCUUGAGGGCCAACACAACAAACUCGACCAAUAGCAGAAAUAUUGAACGAAAGCGUGCCCAUGCCACCAGCCUUAACCUACAUGCAUUCUGACUCGAAGCGUCCUAGCUCACAGGAACGUCACCAAGUUACUCUUCGCCAUAUCCUGUUCUCUCAUACCUGGUCAAUGAAAUAACCAAUGGCAAGCCAAUGAGUACUUUGAAUGUACUCGCAAACAUCCCAUGAUAUGGAUAAUGCAGUUGGUAUGGGAACAAGUAAUAUGCAGUAUUGGUGGAUAGCAGUUUAACUGUAAAUAAACAUGAUCGUGGAUGUGCAGCAUAAGCUAGAUGGUAUUUAGAAGAACAGGUUACGGAUAUCAAUAUAUCUAUCAAGGGCUGAACACUCCGGGUUCUCCCGAUAUGACAGGUCACCAAACUUGGUCAUAUCAACCCUUUCACAUAACUACUUGAACACACACACACACACACUAGGUUUAUGCGGAAACGACUGGACGUAGUUUAAGCAGCACCACCCAACUGUCCUUGACCGUGGACACGACUAUCCGAAUAGUUUUACACUCUUCAGAGGUUGUAUGCAGUACCCACGAGAUCCAGGAAACUUGCGUGUCAUCCACGACUCGCGGUAUAUAACAUACCCGAGGUAAGUACCCAAUCAAUGCCUUUCCCCUGACGAUACUAGACAACAAGGUCAAUUUGAUUGGUACCCAGCCCACAUGUUGUAUGUCUUACGAGCACCGACUUUGGACAGUAGCAACCAUGCGGGGACCAACGGUGUUCCUGGAACACGUAAAAACAACAUAGUUGCCCUACCUGGCACGACCACAUCACGAGAGUGACCACACAUCACUCCCGCCACUAGUAAUGUGGCUCUUUGCUAGCACCGACCAGAGUAAUCAACAAAGCCCCGUCCCAUAAAGGGUUAACGUGGUCAUACAUGUAAGGUUGGGACGGUCGACACAUCAUAAAUCUAAUCCCAUUUACGAAACCACUCACAUGAAAAUAUCCGGUGCACCACUUCACCAUAAGUGACCACCUAACUCACCAUCACCCUCGGGCAUUAGUGGCAGCCUACGGGGUUUUCAUAAACCUUUGAUUAUACCAUUAUCAUGCUCAUGCUACUACUAUCCUUAGUUCUACUUGUCAACAUGAUAAUAGCGUGACCCUCAUAGGUGGUAGGAUCAUGCUAAAAAUGCAAGUGCUACGGAGGAGCCAUCGGUAAUAUCACUUCAAUGGUUUACCGAUACUUAUGAUCACAUGCAAUAUUAAUAUUUUCUACCCUAGCAUGCAAUAUAACAUAUGCUCAAACAUGGUCAAAUGGCUGCUUGCCUUUGCUCACAUAAGUCCUCGGGGUCUUCGACGUCUUCCGGUCCAACUCCGAGUACUCCGUCUACCCGUCACUAUUAUAGGAAACAACCACGGUAAGCCACACAACAAUCAAAAACAAAAGUGCUAUAAAAAUGGAAGUUAUAUUUUUCUUGGACCUCUCCGGUCAUAAGAAAAAUACCUGAAGCUUGCCAUAGGAGAUUUGGAUCAUCAAGGAUUUUUAAUGAAUGAGAAGAGGAAUAGGUGAUCUCUAAAUAUGCCUACGGAAAAUAUCAUGAUAGAAAUGAGUGGAGGCACUCAUUUAAUACAGCAUAAUUUUAGAAAUAUUUAGGAAGUUGUUUCACUGGAUUUGGAGUUGAUAUGAAUAUACUAUGGAUUAUUCAAUACUGGAUAAAUAGCAAAAGCGAGCUAUUUAUUUAAUGCAACACACAUAAGUCAUAAACAAUGUUGACCAAGGUUUCAAAAAUAGGAUGUGAUAUAAGAAGGCUCUGGAAAUUGUAAUCACUCCAUUUGCAAGUGCUGCCUAAAAUAUUCAAAUGGGCAUUUGAAUAUUAACCUCACACAAAAGUAUUUUGCAAAAAUGUGCAAUGCACAGAUCUGGAUAGAACAUGAUUUUAGAAACCUGCAAAUUUUUGAAUUGUCAGAUUUGGAGCUUAGAUGGAUAUUUGAUGGAUUUAUGAAGAUUCUGAUAAUAGGAAACAAAUCAGAGUUAUACCAGAUGGGGGGGAACUAUAUUGCGCGCAGGCCCACCGCAGCUUUGGGUCGGCCCAGCUUGGCCUGGCCUGCGGUGGUGCAGGUGACACCGAAACCGCACCCAGGGAAUACGCCUCCCCUGGGAAAAGGCGGCUACAGCUCACCCCGUAUCCACUUAAUGGGGAGAGACCCACCCGCGAGCCUCACUGGCCGGCCGACAGGCGAGGCCUAGCGGCUCACGAGGCUUUAUUCUUCCUCUCGCCACGAGGGAGAGCAGGGGAAUCUGGCAGCGGCUGCCGACGCUACAGGGCACAGUUCCCAGCGUCCCCACCACCAAAGGGCUCAGGGAAGCGAGUCGCACCCGUUCCGAUGCAGAGCACGUGCUGAGAAGGGCUGAGGUAGCGACGCCUUGGACGACCGCGGAGGAGGCCAUCGGGACUCGCUGGCCUCGAGAUCUUGGCGCCCCAGGGUGGAACGAAGGUGACCGGGGGGUUUCAACAUGGAGGUGUGAUGGCGCUGCAGGGGGUCAGGGGAGAGGGGGAGCUCGGAGGAGCUCAAAUUUAAGAGGAGGCCUAGGAUGCAAUGUGAGCGGCACGAGGAGGAGGAUGGGCACAGGGCAAGCCGUGGCUAGCCCAGGAGGCCACUAGGGGAAGAGGGGGCGAGAGAAUGCACAAGGGGGGCUAAGGGCUUGCUUCAAAUGGAGGGGGUAUGGCAGGGAGAGCUCGAGGGAGCUUCGGAUGCUCCCUUUGCACUCUAAGCAAAGUGGCCACGCGCGCCUGAGUCACCUUGGCUGCUUCCUGGCUUCGGGGAGGGCUCGAACGGUCAAAGGGGAGCACCCUGGCGCGUUGGGACACGCGACCGUUGAUGGAGUCGAGCUGCAAAAAGAUAAAAGGAUGCAUAGCAGCGUUUUUGCAUGCUUCCGGCGUGGUCAUCAUAGCCACUCAUGUCCACAAUGUUCCAAUGACCAGUCAAACAUGUCCAACACGUAGGGCACACAUGCAGGAAAGUAAACUUGAGGGGAAACCAUGUCUAGCAACAUCUGACACGGAAGGACUACACCCCUAUAAAGUUUUAGCUCAAGCAAAGGAGGGUAGCUAGUACUUGCUGUACAAAUCUACAUUUCAGCCACAAUUCAACUUGUAGAUGUGCUGCUCAUUUUCCCCACAUGAGCAUGCCAUCUCUUGGUAUGAAACAAUGCUUUGGGAUGCCAGGGACCCUCUGGAGAGAGGUGGGGCUUUGGCUUAAGCAGAAGUGGGAGAAGAGAGGUACAAAUGGUGAUCCAAGCGUAAAAAAGAGAAGUAGUUACAUGGAGGUAAAAUGUAACUAUAUGGAGCUGUGGUAGAAAGUUGACAUCAAGGGUAAAACUGGAAGGGGCCAAAGUAGCCACUUUAGUGAGUGCACACAAGGUGUUUGAUGAGUGUCAGGGCAACCAUAUGAACUUCAAUGGAUAUGAAACUUAACAGGAUCAAAUAAUAGAUGAAAAUAAGCUUGGACAACAAAUUUGGGAUUUUGUGGACAAGGUUUCCAAUGUAGACUUGGAAAACCCAUGAAAUUGGCAGAAAUGGCUUUCUGCUUACAACUCUAUUCAAAUCAAUUCCCACUAAUAGAAUAUUUGGUGUGGGGGCAUUAUUUGUGCAUUAAAGCAUGCCCAAAAAGUUUGGGGUCAAUUGGAGAAGCUUUAUAAUGUAAAGUUUCCCAAAGUCAGAAUUCAACAAAGAGGGGUUUGAGGGGCUUGGGACCAGUUCAUAUAUUCUCCUUGAUUCCCCACUUGGUGUGGAUGCAUUAUUGGAGUAUCAUAACAUGUAUACCAAAUUUGAGCACAGUUUGAGAUACUGGACAAUGUAGAGUUGCUCAAAUUUGGUUCUGGACAGAUAGGGUUUUAGGAUAAUUAAGGGAGCCAAAUCACCUUGGAUUGAUAUGAAACUUGGCAAGAUCAUCACAAAGGUCAUAUGUGACAUGCUAGAAUUUUACAUGAAUUUAUUGAUAAUAUUUCUUAUAGAAAUAUUUCAAAACCUUGAAAUAGGCAGGAAGGGUUUGCCCUAUAUUUGAACAUGACCAUGUGUUGAAACUUAUAUAUAUGGAAUAUAUAUGUCCAUUGAGUUUCCCUAAAUUUUAUUAAAUAUUUUGAAAGCAAUAGAAAUAACUUUCCUUCACAAGAGAGCAUUUCUGGCCUCACAGGAAGGCAUUUAAAUAAAAUAGUAAAAUAACUAUUAUUAAUUUUGUGGUUUUGUGAAGCCAUUUUGAUAAUGGGUUUUAAAUAAAAUAAUUGGUGCAAAAUAAAUUCCCUAAUUUGAGGACUUGUAGUACAAAUCCCAUCUAACGGGUUUUGAAAGCUUAAUUCAAAGAAAUGUUUUUUGGCGAAAAUAAUAUUUGGUAAAAAUAGUUUCUGGUCCUAAACACAUGGCAUGAUCAUUAGGGAGGAGAUUUGGGGUAAGGAGGUGAGUCUGGAGAGUAAUAAGAAUUAUUGAGAAUCAAACACAAG